AAACUCAUUAUUUCAAAGUACUGACAUAAACCAUUUCAAAAAAAAAUGAACCCCCAAGUUCUCAUUCACAUAAUGAAGAGACAACAGUUUCAUAAAGAGAAACAUGCAUUCCAAUUUCUGAAAAAAAUGCAUUUCAACAAAAAAAUACUUUCCAAUUACAAUUCUGUUUCACAUCACGAAUGUUAGUUUCACAAAUCCGCAUUUCACAUCAGAUAUAGCAGUUUGACAUAUCUACAUAUCUAUUUCGAUUUCGGUACAACAAUAUCACAUAUAUCACACAAUCUGCUAUAGAUCUUCCCAUCGAUUUCAAUUAGACACCUUCAUUUCCAUCAAAUAUAAAAGUUCAAUAUAUCACACAAGCAGGGGAGUUGUCCAUCUAGUGAGGAAGCAAGGGGGGAUCUCAAAACAUGUACCAUAAAACAAAAAUCAGGAAGUAAACACAGAGAUAAAGAUAUUAGGGGAGUUGUGCUUACUCGGGGGUGGACGCAUAUGGUCGUGGGCUUCAUGACUCACCAGAUCCGGUGGCGGUCAUUCUUGGAUUCGCCGGAUCCGGUGACGACCCUGCUCAUCGAACCGUCGUGCUAGGUGGAUGCUGUGGAGGAAUAACAACGGAGCAGAUCUCCCCAACGCCAGCGCCCACGGCAAGGCGGGGUCAGGAGGUUAGGACCGGCGGACUUUGUCGGUCCUAGAGGAGAGGUGGCGGCGAUAUGUGGAUGUUAGAUGGUACUAGGGUUGUUCGGGCAGGGAAGGCAUCACUGACAAAUAUAUAGUAUGGGUACUGAGUGAGAAGACCACAUGACUUAUAUCUGAUGGCUCAAAAUAUAACUUGUUUAUGUCCACACAACAAAUAAUGGCAUGUCACCAAAAUAGUAAAGUUAUAUGUAAACAUCUGGAUCCCAUGUAACAAUAUAUUCCAAAAACAACAAUGAUAAUUUGGCAUAGAAACAUAUGUGCUUAUAUAUACAUAUGAUUUUUUUUUCAAAUAUGGCAAUACCAAAAUGUUUUGCAUGACAAUUUUUCUUUGUUCUCUUGUUUGUUGCUCCUCUUGCCUUGUUCAUUUCUAGAACUUGCGAGAAUGCGACAAAUCGAGUUGGAGUUAAUGCACUUCAAUGCGACAACAACAAAGUAGAGUCUAGAGUGGCUAGUGUUCGAAUGUGUGUGGAAGAGGGAGGGGUUGCUAGUGUUCAAUAAUAACAUAGGCCUCCUCACGGGUGACAAUGUUACGACUCAGGGGGGCCUCACCAUAUAGAAAGUCGGCCUAACAGGCCGACGUAUGGCCAUUAGGUUGGUAUAUGCCUUGGGUCGUCAUCUCAGCAUGUGGGCUUUCUAGAAGGAGGGGUCUGGAAGACUUGGCAAUCACGACAAGGAAGAUGGCUGACAGUGUGAAAUACAGUCAGAUCCCUCGGUAGGGGUCCAAGCACAGCUGGAAGUCUUAGAUUGAAGGUCACACAAGGGGUUUAUCCAGGUUUGGGCCUCAAAAGAGUAAUACCCUACGUCCUGCUUGUUUGGUUAUUCAUGGUGGAGGGAUACCUCGUGCGAGAAGAUACCAAUAGUGCAGGCGGGUCCUAUACAAACUGUUUUUACCCCCUUUCCACGACGGAGUUUUAAACCGCCGCCUUGCCUGUGUGUGCGAUAGGUGGGUCCAUCCCACACGACCCAGAAAUAAUCGCCGAUAGUUCCUCCGGUCACCCACGCGGGGCAAAAAGAGCUCGUGGCGAUCGGACGAGCCAUCAAAAACAAUUAUACAGAGCAAAUCAUGUGAGAUGUUCUUAGUAACCCACUUAGUGAAUCCCAAACAAACGUUUUCAUUCAUGUGUACAUCACACACAAUUUUCCGCAUCACAUCAUCUGUGAUAGCGUUGCCAUGACGGACGAUAUUCAUAAUUUUAUCGUUUGUGUUGUUGGAUGCAUCACACACGGUACCUAGAAGAAACUGUAUGGCAUAGGCUGUCCAUCACACACAGUUUUUAUGUGAAAACGUUUGUGCAAGGUGGCCUAUGAUGUGAUAGGUGGGAACCCGAUGAACGAGUUCACGCCUGAGGGUGGUCCGAUCUUCACGUCGUAGGAUCGAAUCGGGAUGGAUAACUAGCUGCAAGCAGCCGGGAUAACUAGCUUUAUACCUGCCAAGGUUGGAUGCAACCCAUACAUUGGGGACGGCUGACCGAAGCUACCAGAACUCCAACCUGCUGUCCGAACAAUAGCAUAACCACAAACGGGGACUAACCCACACAAAAUGGCCGGAACCGUAGAGCACGAAUUAGGGGGAACCAGAGGAUCCUUCUCGCGAAUUCGGAUGAACUCGCAAGAGCAAAGGUAGCAAGGAUCUCUCGGAUCUCUCUAGCAGUCUUGCUGCAUAAGCUUGUAGCUGAUUGGCUUGACAAAAGGUUCUUUCUAGAGGAUGGGGGAGGUGGGGUUUUAUAGCAGGGACAACCCCCUUAGCUAGGUGUGAAAAUGGUUUCAAAAGUAAACAAGUUUGGAUGGCUUCCUUGGGGGAAUAAGCAGUCAACUUUGGGAGUUGUUGGAGAACUCCUCGGAAAUUCGCGAAGCCUUGACACCCUGGACACCUUCCACGAGAUUGGCUAGAACUUUUGACUCACAACUCCAAAUGAUGUGAGGUUUUUUUGCAUUGGAGAGAUAAUUUGAUGUAGCUUCUGGUGAUGUACCCCUAUGGCCCCGUCCCUCCACCACAUGGGUGUGGCAGAAUAAAACAUCAUAGGUAAAAACUAAUAGCAUCAGCUUCACUUGAAAGUUGUUAUCUCCAAACUUGUUCCUCCAAACCGGUUGCUUCAAGAGCUCAUAGGUUGUUGGAUUUCUUCCAUGUGAUAUCUAAGUUCAACCAACAACAAUGGGGAUGAAAGUGCAACCAUGUAUUCAAGAUUAUAGUAUGAACUUAAGUUAGCGUUCACUUGGGCAUGUGUUUGCUUGAUUCGGCUUAGUAAUUAUUUCCAACUAAAUUUUGCACAUUUCUGAAAAGUCGUGUAUGAUGUACCCAUGUGCUCAUCAUCCUCCCUCCCUUGAUGAAGAGUCGUCCUCAACUCUCGUUGAUCUACAAAAGAUAAGUAGAAGGGAAGUAGAUAAUAUUCAUGCAAAGGAAUAAUGCAAUCCUCAUUUGUAGCUUUCACCUUAGAAUUGUGUUGUAUCUGAUCAUGCAUUUGUUUAUCACAACUUGGAGUUUGUCUAGGGAUGAUCGGUGUUGUUUCAAUGAUUGAGAUGUCCUCAUCACCCCCUCUCUUGAAAAAGAGUCGUCCUCAACUCUACCUGGUCAUCACACAAAAGAAAUCAGGGCAAUAGCAAACCAUAAUGCAAAGGUUUCAUGAUAUAGAGAUUUUUAGUUUUCAAGUUUGCUACCUUAUUGGAUGAUGCCAACAUGAUAUUUUGUUCGACUUAGGAGUUCCUUCUACCAAACAUUUCCAUGGAGCACAAAUUUAUAACCAACCAUGAGCAUGUCCAUAUCAUCCUCCCUCUCUUGGAGAAAAGUCGUCCUCGAUUUUACCCGGUCUACAAAAUUAUAACACAAGACACUAGAAAAUAACUAGGGAAAGAAAAAAGUUGAACAUUUUUGUGUGGAUCUCAAGUUCCGUGAAUACAUUUUUUCCAUCAUGGUUGAACAACUUAUAUUGAUGGAUUGAUGGUGCGCUGAAGGAUGUGCCCAAUAUUUUUUCUCUUAUUUCAUUUCGCCAUUGUUUCAAUGGUUUAUAUGUGCAUACGUCGGGGUGCAUCAAAAUGGAAGAUCCUUUUUGUUUUACCUCAUUGAGUACUUGAAUGCCUUUCUGAAAAUCAAUCUUCACACACGCACCUUGUGUAGUGGUACUCCAUGUCCUCCAUAUUUGUUCUUGGAUCUCGAUCUCCCAUCAUUGCAAGUGGGCUGAUAGGUAUGCCUUUUGCACCUGCACAUAUUUCAAUGACAGAGAAUUUUGUGAAAGGUUAGUUAUUGAAUGUUCCUCUCUCUUUUCAUUUGGUGGACUACUAAUUUCCCAUGGUGGUGGAUCACUCAUCUCGCUAUUAUCUUGUUGAAAAAUAUCAACCUCACAAUUAGUGGACUCACACAACUCAUUAAUCCUCUCUCCGUAAAUGUGUGGUAUAUCUAGGUGGGGAUCUUGCAUUUCUCUAAUCUCAUGAUGAACAAUCUAAUCCUCAUAUUUUGUGGACUCACUCACCUCACUUUUCUUAUCACACUCAAUAUAUGGAAUUGUGGAAAGUGGACACUCUUCCUCACAUUUGGUGGAGUCACUCAACUCAUUUUUCUUUUCACUCUCAAGUGUUGGGAUUUUUCAAAGUGGACACUCUUCCUCACUUUUGGCGGAGUCACUCAGCUUGCUUUUCUUAUCACUCUCAAGUUGUGGGAUUUUGGAUUGUGAACUCUCUUCCUCACAUGGAAUUUGUGGCACAUGUUUCCUGGAUGUUGGGACAAUAGUGGUGGUCAAGAUGGGAACAUUAGGAAUGAACUUCUCAUGUAAACAUGGGCUAUGAAUCACCGGAGUCGGUUCAUCAACCACGGUCAUGUUUUGCUGUGGGUCGUCGCUGUGCCGAUGGGUGCCAUAACUUCGUUGUCUGCCGUGACGUCCUUGCUAUGAUUCAUGAGUAGCAACAACACUCCUAGGGGCAGAAGUAGCUUUCCCUCGAGCAUGUCCUCCUUACCGCAUUUCAGGAGCAAUAGCAGCACACCCACGAGCAGUAGCGACACCAUGCCCUUGAGCAUUGUUUCUUUGCUGCACUUCAUGAGCACGAGGGUAUUGUCGGUGUUGAACCCUAUCACCACUUGCUGGAGGACGCUCGUGAAGCAUCCGCUCCAUGGCUCAGAGUAUGUUGUUCUCGAGUUCCUGCACAUCAGAGCGGGUGGCCGAACAAUUUUCUCCACCAUGAUUCUUUCAGAACGUACUUGGUGUAGAUCAUGCCAUGUUAGUGGUGCUACAAAAGUGGAAUAGGAUAAUUUUUGUGGUAUCACACAACCUCACCGCUUACUCACUGUAACAUCCCAAAUUUUCAAUUUGGUAUGUUAUACAUAGAUCAUCAUUGCAUAUCAUAUUUUAUUGCAUUUUGACAAAUCCUCGAUAAAUCCUAAGCAACUCAAGCACCCUCGGAGAGAGUUGGGGAUUUUCUCGAAUUUUCAUAUUUGAUUUCCAUCAAAUAAUAAAACGAGGAUUUUUGGUUUUAAUUAUUUUCUCUCAGGAAAAAUAUUUUGAAAAAAUAAAUGAGAGGAGAAAAUAUGACUUCUCCAAAACAAUUGAAAUAUUGGAGGAAAAGUGUUAAAAUCAUUUAUUGGAUUUUAUUCGGAGUUUUGUUUGCAAUUUUAAUUGCAUUAAAAAAAUAUUGCAUGUUUUCAAAAAUUUAUUUUGUGUCAAACAAAUGUUCACCCUGUUCUAAAUAUUCUAACUAGACGGGGAAAAUUUAUUUUAUCUUUUUUGGAUUUUUACUUAUUUUUCUAAGAAUUGUUCGGCGGAACGUUAAAAAAAAACCGCGCCGCGCGCGGCCGCCCGAGUUCCAGCCGAGCCGCCGGCCCACCCCACCGUCUCCCUCGCGCAGCCGCCGCCACCGCGCCCGAGUCCGCCUCNNNNNNNNNNNNNNNNNNNNNNNNNNNNNNNNNNNNNNNNNNNNNNNNNNNNNNNNNNNNNNNNNNNNNNNNNNNNNNNNNNNNNNNNNNNNNNNNNNNNNNNNNNNNNNNNNNNNNNNNNNNNNNNNNNNNNNNNNNNNNNNNNNNNNNNNNNNNNNNNNNNNNNNNNNNNNNNNNNNNNNNNNNNNNNNNNNNNNNNNNNNNNNNNNNNNNNNNNNNNNNNNNNNNNNNNNNNNNNNNNCCCGAGCCCCGCCGCAGCCUCGCCGGAGCCAGCCGAGCCCCGCCGGAGCCCACCCCGACGAGGUAUUGCCUCGCCGUCGUUUGCCGGUUUUGUUUAAAAAAACGUUCGUUUAAAAAAAACCCUAGAUCGGUUUAUUUCUUCGGUUUUGUUAUUUUGUGAGCGUUCACCGACUCGUUCGUUUUAGCGGACGCGCUCGUCGGAUUUUCCCUGUUAACGAACGUCCGUUCUUUAACCGUUCGUCCGUUUUUCUUUUUCGUCGGCUUUUUCCGCGAUUAUCUCAGAUCUCGAUUUCUGAUCGAAUCUUCGUUUCUGUUUAACUUUUCGCUCGUUUAUCGGAAUCAGGCGAUUCAAGCACCUAGAGUUUCGUCUCGAAAUUCUCUUUCCGUUUAACCUCCUCAAACAAGUUUUUGCUACUUUAAAAUUUGACCUAGAUCCAGAUUAGUAAACGAAGCUUGUUUCUUUCGCCGUUUGACUUUCGUUGCUUCGUUCGAGUUGAUUCUUUUUGCAAACCGGAGUUCUUAAGUUGAACUUUCUGGUUGGAUCUUUCAUUCGAGUUUUACCUGUGCAUUAGAUGAGUACUGAUUGUCUGCUUGUUUGUUUGCGAUAGAGUACCCGGAGUGUGCCGCUUGUUACUUCGAAUCGCUAGGUUUCGCGGAUCAUCAGCAAGGCAAGUAACACUUUGAUCAUACUUUCCAUACCCAAUUUUAUUGCAUUAGAUCUAUUCCUCAAACAAUUGCAUGAUUAGGAUCUAAUUAAAUUGUGGGAUUUUGGGAAGUAGUUGAGGUAGUACCUAUUAUCUGUUUUCUUAUCAAACCCUUGGGAGAUUCUUCUACGUUGCUAUUAUAUUGCCAUGCUAUGCUCGUAGACGUGGAUUGGUUUUUGAGAGAUAUUCAUGACAGAUGUGAGAUUGUUAAUAAUGGUUUACCUAAGGUGGCAACUAAAACUCACAUCUGGGUGGAUUGAGGCACCUGGAGAAUCCAGUGUUGUCUGUAUGUAUAAGGACCGCCACCCAGGCUCAAAGGGAUCAUAAGAUUAUUCAUGCUAGAAACUUCCGUGUGCAGCCACAAGCAAUUAUGGGCUCUAGCAUAGUUGAGUAGGUUACAUGAUCUCUUGAAGAGGUGGGCUAGCAGAUGUAGGGGAAAGUAGGUGUACCGGUCCACCCGGAGUAAAGAGUGAUUAUUCCUGAAAGACUGUGUCUCGGUCAUCCGUUUCUCAAACAUCAUGCAGUGCGAGAAUCAAGCGGAGGCGAUCGAGUCUUGUGGGGAAAAGUGCGCAAACCUCUGCAGAGUGUACAAACUAAUCAUGGUUAGCCGUGUCCCCGGUUAUGGACAAUUUGAGUAUCUAGUACCUGGAUUAUCAUUUGAAUCUCAUCACCAUGUUACUUUUAAUUAAUUUUGCUGGGUUAAUGAUGAUUCUUAAUUGGGAUUGAGAUGCUGUCAACCAUCUCAAUAUUUCACAACCACCAUGAUAGUUAAAUAAAUGUUAUUCCUUUGAAGUAGGGAAAAAUUGGCUUUUCGCAAAAACUUAACCGUAGAGCUUUCCACCAGCCAUAUAUGCAUGAAGUAUAGCCUUAUUAUUGUUCAUUAUUCUCUAUGUGUUACUUUGCCAGCAUAUUCUAUGUGCUGACCCGUUUUCGGGCUGCAACGUUUCAUGUUGCAGACUUUUCAGACGAUAAGGAAGGUGCCUUAGGUCGUGGUCUUAUACUCAGUGAUGCCGCUGGAGUUGAUGGACUCACUUAUCUUCCAAGUCUUCCGCUGUUAUCGUAUUUAGAUGGCCUUAAGCCAUAUUUAUCAUACUUCAUCUCUUUGGAGAUAUUCGAUGUAAUAAGUGUGUGAUUGCUACUCUGUUAUAAAUCCUCCAUUUGAACUGUGCGUGUCAGCAUUACUAAUCCAGGGAUGACACUGGUGCACAGCAGCACAGACCAUUUGAGGUCUGGUCGCUACAAAGGUGGUAUCAAAGCACACGCUGACUGUAGGACACGACCACUAAGCUUAAGCCCUAGAACACUUCUCUCUUCUCAUUUCUGACCCCUCUCCUUUUUCUACUCUUUUAGGAAUGGCGGAUGCAAGGAGCAAGUUCAUGCAACCAGAUGAAGACACGCCUUUUGGUCGACACUUGAAGGAAGUCACUAAGUAUUUGAACAUAGGAAUACCAAGCAUCACCGGAACCUACAACGCCACAUUACCCGAAGAGGAGAGCUGGAAGAUUCAAGUUCACAUUCCAGGAAGGACGUUUGUGCCAGUUACUGAACCCAUAAGAUUGGUUUUCGAAGCACCAACCUGGAGUUUAGGGAAGAGCAUGGCCGCUCGCAUCGCUAUGGGACGCAUUGGAGAAGUCUACCACCAGGAGCUUAAGGAUACAAUUUAUCAGAUUUGCGGACGCCGAGACGCACAAUGGGAGAUGAUCAGAACCAAGAAGGAUGGAUCAAUUGCAGCUUUCAUCCAGGAGCAAAACCAACACAUUCGUCGCCAGGAGAACCAGUUGUGCACGGACAAGGAAGAACUGAAGAAGGCAUUAACCAAGAUCAAGGAGCUGGAGGAAGAACUCAAGGCUACACGCGAGGAUUAUAUGGAGGAAAUCAUCGCACUAGUAGGGAAGAAUGACGACCUGGAGAAGAAGAUUGGAGUAUUCAUGGGAAAUCCAGUGCCAAAAGCAAAGGUUGACGAAUGCGCUUGCCCGGAUAACUACAUCAUCAUCGAUGACACUGACUCGGAACCAAGUGAAGAUGACUUUUUUGACGAAGCUGGAGCAGACAUCAUGGAAUCUUCAACGGAUCAGAAUUUCUAGUAGACCACCAUAUCAGUAGUAGUUUUCCCCCAUUUAAUAGUAUAGUUCAAGCACUUUGUAACGCUAGUUAGAUCGAUUGUUAUGCCUUGUUUGAAUUGAUUGAGUGAUAUUGAUUGUAUUUGUCUCAUGAGCAUAUGGGUAGUGUUUUCCCUCUAGACCUCAUUCUAUUCUUAACUCUCAUCUUUUCUAACCCAUCAGAUGCCUCCGAGACGCGACACCAGAUUUGUUUUCCCACCGGAGAUCACCCAGUUGAUUCAGCAACAGAAUGCCCUGAUGCAAGUGUUAGUGCAGAACCAAGGCAACAACAACAACAACCCACCGCCACCACCACCUGUUGAUCACUUAGCCCGUUUCUUGAGGCUAAACCCGCCGGUGUUUUCCCGUAGCAUCGAGCCGAUUGUUGCAGAUGAUUGGCUCCGCAAAGUUGGAAGGGAGUUGACCACUACGGGAUGCACAGAUGCGGAAAGAGUGCAUUUUGCCGCACAUCAGCUUGAUGGACCCACAGCAUCAUGGUGGGAGAAUUAUACAGCCACGCACCCUAUUGACACUGUCACAUGGGACCAGUUUCAGCAAGCUUUCCGUACAGCUCAUGUUUCAGCAGGAGCUAUGGCUAUGAAGAAGCGCGAGUUUCGCAACCUACGCCAAGGAGGACGCACCGUAGGCCAGUAUGUGGAGGAUUUCAGUAAGUUAGCACGUUAUGCACCAGAUGACGUUGCUACAGAUGUUGCCAAGCAGGAGAAAUUUUUGGAAGGACUGAAUGAUGAACUGAUUAUGCAGUUGAUGGUAGCAACCUUCAACAACUACCAGGAGCUGGUAGAUAGAGCUCUCAUGAUUGAAGGAAAGCAACAGCAGAUUGAAAACCGUAAGAGGAAGUAUGGACAAGGGAAGUACAAUUCUGGAGCUCAGCAGAAGCCACGAUUUGCCCCGAAACCGGGAGGACAGUUUCAGCAUACCCAUGGAGGAGGUAGUUCGCACAACCAUAAUGGCUCCAAGAAUGGUAAUGGGAAUGGAGGAACCAACGGAUAGAACCGCACCAACCCAUCUACCCCAGCCAAGAGGGAUCUAAGUCACGUUACUUGUUUCAAAUGCCAGAAGACUGGACAUUAUGCAACUGAUUGUCCUGAAGCCCAAAAUGGAAAUGGCAAUGGAAGCUCUGGGAAGAAGCCGAACCCAUUCAACAAAGGACAUGUGAACCACGUGAGCGUGGAGGAGGUUGAAGCUCAGCCUGAUGCAGUAAUAGGUAAGUUUUUGGUUAAGUCAUUUACUGCAACCGUUCUUUUCGAUACUGGUGCAUCACAUUCAUAAAUAUCAAGGGGAUUUGUGAAUAAGUUUAAGCUGUCCACCCAAGUUCUCAAAACCCCUAUGUUAGUAACCUCGCCAGGAGCAGAGUAUAUGGCAAGCCAAGGAUGUUUUCAGAUACCAUUGGCCAUUGGUAGGCAUGUUUUCCCCUCAGACCUCAUAGUUUUGGAGUCGCAAGGUUUGGAUGUGAUUUUGGGAAUGGAUUGGCUAUCGUUGUAUGGAGGAAACAUCGAUUGUGCCAGCAAGACAAUUUUGCUUACCACCCCAGAAGGAAAAAGGAUCAAGUAUGUAUCCCGGCAUAUGCCGAAGAGGACUCAAGUGAAUUCCUUAUUAGGAGUUGUACAGGAGGAAGUACCAGUGGUGAAGGAUUACCCGGAUGUAUUUCCAGAAGAGUUGCCAGGCAUGCCACCAGAUAGAGACAUUGAGUUCUUGAUUGAACUUUUGCCAGGCACAGGGCCAAUAUCUAAGAGACCGUACAGGAUGCCCGCAAAAGAUUUGGAGGAAAUUAAGAAGCAGAUCAAGGAGUUACUGGAUAAAGGCUAUAUUCGCCCAAGUUCGUCACCUUGGGGAUCACCAGUACUUCUAGUGGAAAAUAAAGAUGGAUCGCUGAGGAUGGUUGUUGAUUACCGUGGAUUGAAUGAAGUGACCAUCAAAAACAAGUACCCGCUGCCGAUGAUCAAUGAUUUGUUUGACCGCCUACAAGGAGCUAAAGUAUUUUCCAAGAUCGAUCUACGAUCAGGAUACCAUUAGUUAAAGAUUCGAGAGUAGGAUAUACCUAAGACGGCUUUUACCACCAGAUAUGGAUUGUAUGAGUAUACCGUUAUGUCAUUUGGUCUGACUAACGCACCUGCCUAUUUUAUGAACCUGAUGAACAAAGUGUUUAUGGAGUUUUUGGAUAAGUUCGUCGUGGUGUUCAUUGACGAUAUUUUAGUCUUUUCCAAGAAUGAGGAAGAGCAUGAGGAGCAUUUACGAUUGGUACUUGAGAAGCUCAGAGAACAUCAGUUAUAUGCCAAGUUCAGCAAAUGCGAAUUUUGGCUGAAGGAAGUUGGAUUCCUUGGACAUGUUAUUUCUGGAGAAGGAAUAGCAGUAGACCCUGCCAAGAUUGACACAGUAACAAGUUGGGAAUCACCCACGACAGUUGGAGAAAUCCGGAGUUUUCUUGGACUUGCAGGAUACUACCGGAGAUUCAUCGAGAAUUUCUCGAAGAUUGCUAAGCCCAUGACUGAGCUAUUGAAAAAGGACACCAAAUUCAAUUGGACUGAGGAAUGUGAAGCUAGUUUCGAAGAGUUGAAGAAACGAUUGGUUACAUCACCAGUGUUGAUUCUGCCAGAUCAACGCAAGGAUUAUGAAGUUUAUUGCGACGCUUCACGUCGAGGACUUGGAGCAGUGCUUAUGCAGGAAGGAAGAGUUGUGUCAUAUGCUUCACGACAACUUAAACCCCAUGAGAAGAAUUAUGCUACGCAUGAUUUGGAGUUAGCAGCCGUGGUGCAUGCAUUGAAGACAUGGAGACAUUUUCUCAUCGGAAACCAUUGUGAGGUGUACACGGAUCACAAGAGUUUGAAGUAUAUUUUCACGCAGAAGGAGUUAAAUCUCAGACAGAGGAGAUGGUUGGAGCUUAUUAAGGACUAUGAUAUGAGAUUGCAUUAUCACCCAGGAAAGGCUAACGUAGUAGCAGACGCGUUGAGCCGCAAGAGUCAUGUCAACACCCUCAUGACAGGAGAGUUACCUCAGGAGUUAGCCGAGGACCUUCGCGAGCUAUGUUUGGAGAUAGUCCCAAGAGGCUAUUUAGCGACAUUGGAGAUUCAGUCUACCUUGAUGGAAAGGAUCAGAGAAGCUCAGAAGAUAGACAAGGAGAUUGAAGAGAUAAAGGAGAAGAUGAGCAAAGGAAAAGCCAAGGGAUUUCGUGAGGAUGAGCACGAUACCUUAUGGUUUGAGGACCGCGUAUAUGUGCCAAAUGAUCCGGAGAUCAGGAAGUUGAUUUUGCAAGAAGCCCAUGAUUCGCCGUACUCGAUUCACCCAGGGAAUACCAAGAUGUAUUUGGAUCUGAAAAAUACUUUCUGGUGGACCGGAAUGAAGAAGGAUAUUGCAGAGUACGUAGCAGUUUGUGAUGUAUGUCAGAGAGUGAAGGCAGAGCAUCAGAAGUCAGCAGGAUUGCUACAACCAUUGCCGAUACCCGAAUGGAAGUGGGAUAAAAUAGGCAUGGAUUUUAUCACAGGAUUACCCAGGACUCGUUCGGGCUAUGACUCAAUAUGGGUUGUAGUCGACCGUUUGAUGAAAGUGGCUCAUUUCAUUCCAGUGAAGACCACUUACACCAGUGCUAAGUUGGCAAAGAUAUACAUGACCAGGAUCGUAUGUUUGCAUGGAGUUCCGAGGACCAUUGUAUCAGACAGAGGAACCCAAUUUACCUCGAAGUUUUGGAAGCAGUUACAUGAAACAUUGGGAACCAGGCUAGAAUUUAGUACAGCUUUUCACCCACAGACAGAUGGACAGACCGAGAGAGUCAACCAGAUUUUGGAGGACAUGUUAAGAGCUUGUGCAUUAGAUUAUGGAUCUAGUUGGGACGACAACUUGCCAUAUGCGGAGUUUUCUUAUAACAACAGUUAUCAGACCAGUUUGAAGAUGGCCCCUUUCAAAGCCUUGUACGGAAGGAGGUGUAGAACACCGUUGUUAUGGGACGAAGUUGGAGAUCGUCAGUUGUUUGGACCAGAUUUGAUUAAGGAGUCUGAACAGAAAGUAAGGUUGAUUCGCGAUAGGCUCAAGGUAGCCCAGUCCAGGCAGAAGAGUUAUGCUAAUUCUAAACGAAAGGAGACAGUUCACGAAGUCGGAGACCGAGUUUAUCUUUGAGUAUCACCACUUCGAGGAGUGAAGCGCUUUGGAGUUAAGGGAAAGUUAGCGCCCCGUUUUAUCGGACCAUACAGAGUUGUGGAACGUAUGGGAGAGGUUGCCUACAAGCUACAUACGGGAGAGGUUGCCUAGAGUUCAUGAUGUAUUUCACGUCUCCCAGUUGAAGAAGUGCCACGCAUAGAUGGCUGAGAUACCACUGAGAGAUACUGUGCCACUGGAAGCAAUUCAACUGGAAAGUGAUUUGACCUAUGAGGAGAAACCAGUUAAGAUUCUUGAGUAUGCCAGCCGAGUUACCCGCAGUAAGGUUAUCAAGUUUUGCAAAGUCCAGUGGAGUCACCACACGGAAGGUGAAGCCACCUGGGAGCGAGAGGAAGAUCUACGGAAGGACCGCUCCCACCUGUUUUCUAGCCAACCCGAAUCUCGAGGGCGAGAUUCAUCUUAAGGGGGGUAGGUUUGUAACAUCCCAAAUAUUCAAUUUGGUAUGUUAUACAUAGAUCAUCAUUGCAUAUCAUAUUUUAUUGCAUUUUGACAAAUCCUCAAUAAAUCCUAAGAAACUCAAGGACCCUCGGAGAGAGUUGGGGAUUUUCUCGAAUUUUCAUAUUUGAUUUCCAUCAAAUAAUAAAACGAGGAUUUUUGGUUUUAAUUAUUUUCUCUCCGGAAAAUAUUUCAAAAAAAUAAAUGAGAGGAGAAAAUAUGACUUCUCCAAAACAAUUGAAAUAUUGGAGGAAAAGUGUUAAAAUCAUUUAUUGGAUUUUAUUCGGAGUUUUGUUUGCAAUUUUAAUUGCAUUAAAAAAAUAUUGCAUAUUUUCAAAAAUUUAUUUUGUGUCAAAAAAAUGUUCACCCUGUUCUAAAUAUUCUAACUAGACGGGGAAAUUUUGUUUUAUCUUUUUUGGUUUUUUAUUUAUUUUUCUACGAAUUUUUCGGCGGAACGUUUAAAAUAAAAAAACCGCGCCGCGCCCGACCGCCCGAGGCCCAGCCGAGCCGCCGGCCCACCCCGCCGUCUCCCUCGCGCAGCCACGCCGCCACCGCGCCUGAGUCCGCCUCGAGCNNNNNNNNNNNNNNNNNNNNNNNNNNNNNNNNNNNNNNNNNNNNNNNNNNNNNNNNNNNNNNNNNNNNNNNNNNNNNNNNNNNNNNNNNNNNNNNNNNNNNNNNNNNNNNNNNNNNNNNNNNNNNNNNNNNNNNNNNNNNNNNNNNNNNNNNNNNNNNNNNNNNNNNNNNNNNNNNNNNNNNNNNNNNNNNNNNNNNNNNNNNNNNNNNNNNNNNNNNNNNNNNNNNNNNNNNNNNNNNNNNNNNNNNNNNNNNNNNNNNNNNNNNNNNNNNNNNNNNNNNNNNNNNNNNNNNNNNNNNNNNNNNNNNNNNNNNNNNNNNNNNNNNNNNNNNNNNNNNNNNNNNNNNNNNNNNNNNNNNNNNNNNNNNNNNNNNNNNNNNNNNNNNNNNNNNNNNNNNNNNNNNNNNNNNNNNNNNNNNNNNNNNNNNNNNNNNNNNNNNNNNNNNNNNNNNNNNNNNNNNNNNNNNNNNNNNNNNNNNNNNNNNNNNNNNNNNNNNNNNNNNNNNNNNNNNNNNNNCCCUCUCACCCAAGCCCGCCCGAGCCGCCGCCGCCUUGCGGCGCCGCCCCGCUCGCCGCUCGCCGCCGCCGGAGCCCGCCCCGACGAGGUAUUGCCUCGCCGUCAUUUGCCGGUUUUGUUUAAAAAAACGUUCGUUUAAAAAAAACCCUAGAUCGGUUUAUUUCUUCGGUUUUGUUAUUUUGUGAGCGUUCACCGACUCAUUCGUUUUAGCAGAUGCGCUCGUCGGAUUUUCUCUGUUAACGAACGUCCGUUCUUUAACCGUUCGUCCGUUUUUCUUUUUCGUCGGCUUUUUCCGCGAUUAUCUCAGAUCUCGAUUUCUGAUCGAAUCUUCGUUUCUGUUUAACUUUUCGCUCGUUUAUCGGAAUCAGGCGAUUCAAGCGCCUAGAGUUUCGUCUCGAAAUUCUAUUUCCGUUUAACCUACUCAAACAAGUUUUUGCUACUGUAAAAUUUGACCUAGAUCCAGAUUAGUAAACGAAGCUUGUUUCUUUCGCCGUUUGACUUUCGUUGCUUCGUUCGAGUUGAUUCUUUUUGCAAACCGGAGUUCUUAAGUUGAACUUUCUGGUUGGAUCUUUCAUUCGAGUUUUACCUGUGCAUUAGAUGAGUACUGAUUGUCUGCUUGUUUGUUUGCGAUAGAGUACCCGGAGUGUGCCGCUUGUUACUUCGAAUCGCUAGGUUUCGCGGAUCAUCAGCAAGGCAAGUAACACUUUGAUCAUACUUUCCAUACCCAGUUUUAUUGCAUUAGAUCUAUUCCUCAAACAAUUGCAUGAUUAGGAUCUAAUUAAAUUGUGGGAUUUUGGGAAGUAGUUGAGGUAGUACCUAUUAUCUGUUUUCUUAUCAAACCCUUGGGAGAUUCUUCUACGUUGCUAUUAUAUUGCCAUGCUAUGCUCGUAGACGUGGAUUGGUUUUUGAGAGAUAUUCAUGACAGAUGUGAGAUUGUUAAUAAUGGUUUACCUAAGGUGGCAACUAAAACUCACAUCUGGGUGGAUUGAGGCACCUGGAGAAUCCAGUGUUGUCUGUAUGUAUAAGGACCGCCACCCAGGCUCAAAGGGAUUAUAAGAUUAUUCAUGCUAGAAACUUCCGUGUGCAGCCACAAGCUAUUAUGGGCUCUAGCAUAGUUGAGUAGGUUACAUGAUCUCUUGAAGAGGUGGGCUAGCAGAUGUAGGGGAAAGUAGGUGUACCGGUCCACCUGGAGUAAAGAGUGAUUGUUCCUGAAAGACUGUGUCUCGGUCAUCCGUUUCUCAAACAUCAUGCAGUGCGAGAAUCAAGCGGAGGCGAUCGAGUCUUGUGGGGAAAAGUGCGCAAACCUCUGCAGAGUGUACAAACUAAUCAUGGUUAGCCGUGUCCCCGGUUAUGGACAAUUUGAGUAUCUAGUACCUGGAUUAUCAUUUGAAUCUCAUCACCAUGUUACUUUUAAUUAAUUUUGCUGGGUUAAUGAUGAUUCUUAAUUGGGAUUGAGAUGCUGUCAACCAUCUCAAUGUUUCACAACCACCAUGAUAGUUAAAUAAAUGUUAUUCCUUUGAAGUAGGGAAAAAUUGGCUUUUCGCAAAAACUUAACCGUAGAGCUUUCCACCAGCCAUAUAUGCAUGAAGUAUAGCCUUAUUAUUGUUCAUUAUUCUCUAUGUGUUACUUUGCCAGCAUAUUCUAUGUGCUGACCCGUAUUCGGGCUGCAACGUUUCAUGUUGCAGACUUUUCAGACGACGAGUAAGGUGCCUUAGGUCGUGGUCUUAUACUCAGUGAUGCCGCUGGAGUUGAUGGACUCACUUAUCUUCCAAGUCUUCCGCUGUUAUCGUAUUUAGAUGGCCUUAAGCCAUAUUUAUCAUACUUCAUCUCUUUGGAGAUAUUCGAUGUAAUAAGUGUGUGAUUGCUACUCUGUUAUAAAUCCUCCAUUUGAACUAUGUGUGUCAGCAUUACUGAUCCAGGGAUGACACUGGUGCACAGCAGCACAGACCAUUUGAGGUCUGGUCGCUACACUCACCAAAGUUCUUAUGAGUUCACAUCAGAUUGUGCUUUUCCCGGAUGUGUUAAAGCGAUUGAAAGACAAGGAUCAAAGAACUAGCUUCGGUUUUCGGUGGAGGUCAAUGGGGUAAAAAAAUGGGUUUGUGCUGAAAUCAAGUUGAUGCAAACCAAGAAAAUAUGGGUAUAGAUCUGCUGCACCUUUGCACCAAGAUUGAAAAACACACAACACACAAGCUUCUGAAAUUUUUCUACCAAGCUGAAACUUUUGGAUCUUACACAACACUUUCUUUUUUCUCUUGACUUUUUUGCCACUCUUUUUCUUUCUUUCUUUAAUUUUUUUGCCACCCUUUUUUCACUCUUUUUCCAAAGCACAACAACCAAACUAAAAACAAUUACGAAGAUGAACUUGGUGCAUAUCUAAAAGAUGAAGAAAAUGCAAGAUAUGCAACAACAACAAGAUCUCAGUACCAACUAGGCUUGUAUUUAUUUUUGGUGGGGCUUUGGACUCCUAGAACGGAGAAUAUAGCAUGAAAAACACUUGAUCUAAAGGGAUGAUAGCAAGAUAAACUUGGAUAACAAAUCCUACCGUGUCAACGAAAGCUCUGAUGCCAAAUGAUAGGUGGGAACCCGAUGAACGAGUUCACGCCCGAGGGUGGCCCGAUCUUCACGUCGUAGGAUCGAAUCGGGAGGGAUAACUAGCUGCAAGCAGCUGGGAUAACUAGCUUUAUAUCUACCAAGGUUGGAUGCAACCCGUAUGUUGGGGAUGGCUGACCGAAGCUAUAAGAACUCCAACCCGCUGUCCGAACAAUCGUAGAACCACAAACUGGGACUAACCCACACAAAACGGCCGGAUCCGUAGAGCACGAAUUAGGGGGAACCAGAGGCUCCUUCUCGCGAAUCCGGAUGAACUCACAAGAGCAAAGGUAGCAAGGAUCUCUCGGAUCUCUCUAGCAGUCUUGCUGCAUAAGAUUGUAGCUGAAUGGUAUGACAAAAGGUUCUUUCUAGAGGAUGGGGGAGGUAGGGUUUUAUAGCACGGACAAACCCCCUUAGCUAGGUGUGAAAAAGGUUUCAAAAGUAAAUAGUUUUGCAUGGCUUCCUUGUGGGAAUAAGUAGUCAACUUAGGGAGUUGUUGGAGAGCUUGAUACGUUUCCAACGUAUCUAUAAUUUCUUCUUGUUCCAUGCUGCUAUAUUAUCAUUCUUGGAUGUUUUACAAUCAUUUUAUAGCAACUUUAUAUCAUUUUUUGGGACUAACCUAUUGACAUAGUGCCCAGUGCCAGUUCCUAUUUUUUCCUUGUUUUUUACUUUGCCGAAAAUCAAUACCAAACGGAUUCCAAACGCAGCAAAACUUUUUGGAGAUUUUUUUUGGACCAGAAGGGACAAGUUGGGCAAAAGAAGUACCAGAGGGGUGCCCCGAGGGGGGCACAACCCACCUAGGCACACCUGGGGGCUCAGGCGCGCCCUGGUGGGUUCUUCCCGCCUCGGUGGCCUCCCGCACCGCCUCUUUGCUCUAUAAAUACGCCGAAUAUCCAAAAACCCUAGCGGAGUUGACGAAACACAAUUCCAGCCGCCGCAAGUUCCAGAACCACCAGAUCCAAUCUAGACACCAUCACGGAGGGGUUCAUCAUCCUCAUUAGUGCCUCUUCGAUGAUGCGUGAGUAGUUCAUUAUAGACCUACGGUUCCAUAGUUAGUAGCAAGAUGGCUUCCUCUCUCUCUUUUGAUUCUCAGUACAAUGGUCUGUUGGAGAUCUAUUAGAUGUAACUCUUUUUGCGGUGUGUUUGUUGGGAUCCGAUGAACUUUGAGUUUAUGAUCAGAUCUAUUUUAUCCGUGAAAUUUAUUUGAGUUUUGAUCUCUUGUAUGCAUGCUUACUUUUAGCCUCGUAUUUCUUCUUUGAAUCUUUGGUUUAGUUAGGCGACUAGAUCGAUUUUUCUUGCCAUGGGAAGAGGUGCUUUGUGAUGGGUUCGAUCAUACGGUGCUCAAUCACAGUGAUAGAAGGGGACAUGACAUGUAUGUAUCAUUGCUAUUAAGGAUAACAAGAUGGGGUCUAUUCCUACGUGAAUAGAUCUUGUCUACAUCAUGUCAUCGUUCUUAUUGCAUUACCCCGUUUCUCCAGAACUUAAUACACUAGAUGCAUGCUGGAUAGCGGUCGAUGUGUGGAGUAAUAGUAGUAGAUGCAGGCAGUAGUCGGUCUACUAAUUUUGGACGUGAUGCCUAUAUAAUGAUCAUUGCCUGGAUAUCGUCAUAAUUAUUUGAAGUUCUAUCAAUUGUCCAACAGUAAUUUGUUUACCCACCGUAUGCUGUUUUUCUUUUCAGAAGCCACUAGUGAAAUCUACGGCCCUCGGGUCUCUUCUUUACCAUAUUUGCUUUCCGAUCUAUUAUUUUUCUCUUUUAUUUUUAGAUCUAUUAAUCCAAAAACCCAAAAAUACCUUGCUGCAUUUUUUUGUUAUUUAUUUUAUCUCGCAUUCCCGCGAGAUCAAUUUAUCCAAUCUACUACAAUUUUAUUUAUCUUUUACCCGGGAGGGAUUGACAACCCCUCUUACGUGUCGGGUUGCAAGUAUUUGUUUUUUGUGUACAGGUACCGUUUACAUAGUGUUGCAUGGUUCUUCUACUGGUUCGAUAACCUUGGUCUCAUCACUGAGGGAAACACCUACCGUAGAUGUGCUGCAUGAUCCCUUCCUCUUCGAGGAAAAUACUGGCGCAGACAUGAGCCUUCAAGGAAGGAUUUCUGGUGCCGUUGCUGGGGAGACAUCAUCAACAUCUAUCAGGUUCCUAAUCACAAAUCUCAUAUCCUCGCAAUUUACAUUAUUUGCCAUUUGCCUCUCGUUUUCAUCUCCCCCACUUCACAACAAAAUUUGCCUUUUUAUUUGCCUUCUUUUUCGUUUUCCUUUUUGCGUGUUUUCUUGUUUGCUAUCUUUGCUUGUGUUGCCAUGUGCCUUCUAUUUGCUUGCAUCUUCGCUUGCUAAAAAUCUAUUGAUAUAGAUCCUCAUCCACUUGCUAAUCUUUUCAAAAGAUCCAAUUAUGAUGAACCAAUUGCUAGUGAAUUGAGUUCACUAGAUUAUAUUUAUGAAAUUUUGCUUGAGAUUUAUGAAUCUGAAAAUUGUGAUGAAGUGUUAAAUGAAGAAAUUUAUAAAGUGAUUCAUGAUAGCUCCUUGAAUGAAAAGCAUGAUAGUAAUGAUGUUAUUAUAAAUUCUAUUAAUGUCAAUUGUGUUAGUGAUAUGCAAAACCCCAAGCUUGGGGAUGCUUGCUUUGCUAUGUCCACUACUUAUUGCAAUGAUCAUGAUUGGGGUGAUAAUGAUUCUUAUGAUCUUGAAGAUUUAUUUAAACCUCAUGAUGAAUAUGCUUGCGAUAAUAUUAAAAGUGGGUUUGGAAGGGUGUCAACUUUAGCUAAAAAUAAUCCCACAUAUUUGGAGAGUGUUCAAUCUUAUGAUUUUUUUUAUAAAAGUGGGCUUGGAGAGGUCAUAACUGUAUUUGAUGAUAAUCCCACUAUUUUGGAAGAGUGUCAACUUUGCAUGCAUGUGGGUCAUGAAGAGAAUAUUUUAUGUGAUAGUUAUAUUGUUGAAUUUGAUUAUGAUCUACCUGUAAUUAUUAUGAGAGAGGAAAAUAUGGUUAUCAAAAUUUGCAUGUUACUAAAUUACCUCUCGUUAUGUUGAGAUCGUCAAUGUUUUAUUCCUCUUCUUUGCAUACGUUAGAUGUUUCUUGUCUUGAUAAAUUUUUUCCCUAUAAAAUGCCUAUGCAUAGGAAGUAUGUUAGACUUAAAACUUGUUUUUCACAUGCUAUAUGAUGCUCUCUUUGUGCUUCACUUUUUUGUCUUUCAUGUGAGCAUCAUUAAAAUUAUUAUGCCUAGCUAGGGGCACAAAACGAUAUCGCUCGUUGGGAGGCAACCCAAUGAAUAAAUUUUAUUUUUUAUUUCUUUCUUUCUGUUCUUGAGUGUUUCCACAAUUAUGCUACUGUUAUGAUUGUGUCUUUAUGUUUAAUUUAGUGUCUGGGCUAAGCAAAGCCUUUGGGAUCAUGUUGGGUGAUAGUUGAUUUCAUCUUGUCGAAAAACACAAACCUUUGCGUCCAGUAAAACAAUUUUCAAAAUUCACAGAUGCGUGAUAAAUCCUGAUUUUUGUACACAAGAUUGAUAUACAAAUUGCUUACAUCGUCCUAAUUUUUCAGAAUUUUUGGAGUUGGAGAAGUAUACUAAGUUUUCAGAUUGCUAUAGACUGUUCUGUUUUUGACAAAUUCUGUUUUCUUUGUGUUGUGUGCUUAUUUUAAUGAAUCUAUGGACUUUAUCAGGGGGUAUAAGCCAUAUAAAAGUUUGAAUAUGGUAGAUAUAAUGCAAAAAUAAAAUAUAAAUGGGUUUGCAACAGUACUUAGAGUAGUGAUUUGCUCUAUUAUACUAACGGAUCUCAUGAAGGUUUUGUUGAGUUUUGUGUGAUUGAAGUUUUCAAGUUUUGGAUGAGAUCACGAUGGAUGAAGGAAUACGGAGUAAGAAGAGCCUAAGCUUGGGGAUGCCCCAUGGCACCCCAAGUUAUUAUCCAAAGAGAAGCAAGCAACUAAGCUUGGGGAUGCCCCCGAGUGGCAUCCCCUCUUUCUUCUAACGACCAUCGGUAUUUUACUUGGAACUAUAUUUUUAUUCGUCACAUAUAAUUAGUUUUGCUUGGAGCGUCUUGUAUUAUAUGAGUCUUUGCUUGUUUUGCUUUUUAUUUUGUGUCCUCUAUCCUUGCUGGACACACCUAUUUGAGAGAGUCAAAAUUAUGCUAUGAUUUGUUAGAAUUGCUCUUUAUGCUUCACUUAAAUUUUUUGAGCUUUGGAAUUGCUCUAGUGCUUCACUUAUAUCUUUUUGAGCACGGUGUGCUUUAGUAUUUUUGAAGAAAUGCUCUCAUUGCUUCGCUUAGAUUUAUUUGAGAGUUAGUAAAAUUUUGAAGAAAUUCUCUCUUGCUUCACUUAUAUUAUUUUGAGACAAGAAAAAAGAUUAUCCUCAUGUUCUUCAUUUAGAUUUGUUUGAGCUAUCAAAAGCAACAUAUGAAAUUAGUCCCAAGGUGAUAGAUAUUCAAGAGGGAUAUAAUAAAAACUAUCAUGAAGAUCAUUGGACAAAAUAAACUUCAUUACUUGUAAUAGUUUUGCGAUAUGAUGAUAUAAAUGUGAGUCAUGUUGAUGAGUAAUUAUGCUUUAGUAAGAAUAUUGGUGUUAAGGUUUGUGAUUCCCUAUGCAAGCAUGAAAGUCAAUAGUUAUGCAAUGAGAUUACAUCCUACUUAUGGUGCAUUAUUCGGUGUUAGUUAUGCUUAAUGCUCGUUUAUGUGAUUUUUCGUUUCUUGGUUGGAUGCUUCUCAAUCUAUUUGCUAGCCUUCCCUUGUACUAAGUGGGAUUACUACUUGUGCAUCCCAAAUCCUUAAACCCAGUUUUGCCAUAUGAGUCCACCAUACCUACCUAUAUGCGGUAUUCUCUUGCCGUUCUAAGCAAAUUUGUUUGUGCCAUCUCUAAUUUUCAAAAUAAUUUCUCUUUUGUGUGCUCGUACCGCUCAUGAAACGGUAGGGGGUGUCUGAUAUUUUUCCAUGCUGGGUGUGUUAUUCUCAAGAUGAGUGUUUAUUCACUUGUCAUUGCACGAGAGUAUGACAAAGGUUUUAGGGAUGUCCAGACCCGAAAUGAUAAAUGAUCUUACUUUAUGUUGUCAACUAAUAAAUUCCUUGGAAGGUGUUGGUAUGGACAUCACCCGUGGAUACGGUUAGCCAUGGAAUGUGAAAGUAUGGUGGAAAAAGGAAUAAACUUUAAUUUCUGUUUGGGAACCGCCUAUGAUAUAUCUAGCAUGAAAAGUAUUGGGAACUACUCGAUCAUUUUCGUUGAUAGGAAAAGAAUGCCACCCAAAAUGUUUUAUCUCUAUCCUUUUCGCUUCGAGCUCUGGUACCUCUACAAAUCCCUACUUCCCUCUGCGAAGGGCCGUUCUAUUUACUUUAUGCAAUUUUUAUUUUUAUUUUGAGUCUCCAUCUUCUCUUAUAAAGCACCAACUAAGGGGCACUAUGAUUGUACUUGAGCAUUAGGUAUUGCUAAUAUACGAGUGUGUUUGAUGAAUGGAUCAGUGAUUGAGCGGGAUGGCCUAGGGAUAACUUGCUUUAGUAUCGAUAUUUUGAAAGACAUGGUUGCUUGUUGAUAUGCUUGAGUAUUGAAAUCUUCAUGUCAAAACUAGACUAUUGCUUUGAAUCAUAUAAAAGUCCAAAUGUCCACGCUAGAAAAGAAAAGAAUAUGUGAUGAACAUGUUAGGCAGCAUUCCACAUCAAAAAUUCUCAUUUACCUACUCAAGGACGAGUAGGAAUUAAGCUUGGGGAUGCUGAUAUAUCUCUCGGAUCUCUCUAGCAGUCUUGCUACAUAAGCUUGUAGCUGAAUGAUUUGAUAAAAGGUUCUUUCUAGAGGAUGGGGGAGGCGGGGUUUUAUAACAGGGACAACCCCCUUUAGCUAGGUGUGAAAAUGGUUUCAAAAGUAAACAGGUUUGCAUGGCUUCCUUAUGGGAAUAAGCAGUCAACUUUGGGAGUGGUUGGAGAGCUCCUCGGAAAUUUGCGAAGCCAUGACAGCCUAGACACCUUCCCUAGGAUUGGCUAGAACUUUUGACUCACAACUCCAAAUGAUGUAAGGUUUUUCUUGCAUUGGAAAGAUAAUUUGAUGUAGGUUCUCGUGAUGUACCCCAAUGGCCUUGAUGGCUCGUGUCCGUGUCAGUAUUUUCCCCCAAGAGGAAGGGAUGAUGCAGCACAGCUACGGUAGGUAUUUCCCUUAGUGAUGAGACCAAGGUUCUCAAACCAGUAGGAUAACCACGCAACACUAUGUAAACGAUACCUGCACACAAAGAAUGAAUACUUGCAACCCGACGCGUAAGAGCGGUUGUCAAUCCCUCCCAGGUAAAAGAUAGAUAAAUUUGUAGUAGAUUGGAUAAAUAGAUCUCGCGGGAACGCGAGAUAAAAUAAAUAACGAAAAAUGGUAGCAAUGUAUUUUUGGGUUUUUGGAUUAAUAGAUCUGAAAAUAAAAGAGGCAAAUAAUAGAUCAGAAAAGCAAAUAUGAUAAAGAAGAGACCCGGGGCCCGUAGAUUUCACUAGUGGCUUCUCUCGAGAAAAAUAGCAUACGGUGGGUAAAUGAAUUACUGUUGGGCAAUUGAUAGAACUUCAAAUAAUUAUGACGAUAUCCAAGCAAUGAUCAUUAUAUAGGCAUCACGUCCAGGAUUAGUAGACCGACUCUUGCCUGCAUCUACUACUAUUACUCCACACAUAGACCGCUAUCCAGCAUCCAUCUAGUAUAUUAAGUUCAUGGAACAACGGAGUAAUGCAAUAAGAACAAUGACAUGAUGUAGACAAGAUCUAUUCAUGUAGGAAUAGACCCCAUCUUGUUAUCCUUAAUGGCAACGAUCAAUACGUGUCUUGCUGCCCCUUCUGUCAUUGGGAAAGAACAUUGCACGACCUAACCCGUCACAAAGCACCUCCUCCCAUGGCAAGAAAAAUCAAUCUAGUUGGCCUAACUAAACCAAAGAUUCGAAGAAGAAAUACGAGGCUAUAAGUAAUCAUGCAUAUAAGAGAUCAAAACUCAAUUAACUUCCAUCGAUAAAAUAGAUCUGAUCAUAAACUCAAAGUUCAUAGGAUCCCAACAAACACACUGCAAAAAGAGUUACAUCAGAUCUCCAAGAGACCAUUGUAUUGAGAAUAAAAAGAGAGAGAGGAAGCCAUCUAGCUACUGCCUACGGACUCGUAAGUCUACAAUGAACUACUCACGAAUCAUCGGAGAGGCACCAAUGAGAUGAUGAACCCCUCUGUGAUGGAGUCUAGAUUGGACCUAGUGGUUCUUGAACUUGCGGCGGCUGGAAUUGUGUUUUGUCGACUCCCCUAGGUUUUUGGAUUUCUGAGGUAUUUAUAGAGCAAAGAGGCGGUGCAGGAGGCCACCGAGGUGGGCACAACCCACCAGGGCAUGCCCAGGCCCCAGGCGUGCCCAGGUGGGUUGUGCCCCCCUCGCGGCACCCCUCUGGUACUUCUUUGGCCCAACUUGUCCCUUCUGGUCUAGAAAAAAUGUCCAAAAAGUUUCGCUGUGUUUGGACUCCGUUGGGUAUUGAUUCACUGCGAAGUAAAAAAACAAGGAAAAACAGGAACUAGCACCGGGCACUAUGUCAAUAGGUUAGUCCCAAAAAAUCAUAUAAAGUUGCUACAAAAUGAUUGUAAAACAUCCAAGAAUGAUAAUAUAACAGCAUGGAACAGGCAAAAAUUAUAGAUACACUGGAGACGUAUCAGGCCCCGUCUCUCCACCACAUGGGUGUGGCACAACAAAACAUCAGACGUAAAAACUGAUAGCAUCAGCUUCACUUGAAAAUUGUUAUCUCCAAACUUGUUCCUCCAAAUCGGUUACUUCAAGAGCUCAUUGUUUGUUGGAUUUCUUCCAUGUGAUACCUAAGUUCAACCAACAACAAUGGGGAUAAAAGUGCAACCAUGUAUUCAAGAAUAUAGUAUGAACUUAAUUUAGCGUUCACCUCGGCAUGUGUUUGCUUGAUUCGGCUUAGUAAUUCUUUCCAACUAAAUUUUGCACAUUUCUAAAAAGUUGUGUAUGAUGUACCCAUGUGCUCAUCAUACUCCCUCCCUUGAUGAAGAGUCGUCCUCGACUCUCGUUGAUCUACAAAAGAUAGGUGGAAGGGAAGUAGAUAAUAUUCAUGCAAAGGAAUAAUGCAAUCCUCAUUUGUAGCUUUCACCUUAAAAUUGUGUUGCAUCUGAUCUUGCAUUUGUUUAUCACAACUUGGAGUUUGUCCAGGGAUGAUCGGUGUUGUUUCAAUGAUUGAGAUGUCCUCAUCAUCCCCCCUCUCUUGAAAAAGAGUCGUCCUCGACUCUACCUGGUCAUCACACGAAAGAAAGCAGGGCAAUACCAAAUCAUAAUGCAAAGGUUUCAUGAUAUAGAGAUUUUCAGUUUUCAAGUUUGCUAUCUUAUGGAUGAUGCCAACAUGAUAUUUUUUUCGACUUAGGAGUUCCUUCUAGAAAACAUUUCCAUGGAGCACAAAUUUAUAACCAACCAUGAGCAUGUCCAUAUUAUCCUCCCUCUCUUGGAGAAAAGUCGUCCUCGACUUUACUCGGUCUACAAAAUUAUAGCACUAGGACACUAGAAAAUAACUAAGGAAAGAAAAGGUUGAACAUUUUUGUGUGCAUCUCAAGUUUCCCAAAUCCAUUGUUUUUCCAUCAUGGUUGAACAAAUUAUAUUGAUGGAUUGAUGGUGUGCUGAAGGAUGUGCCCAAUAAUUUUUUCUCUUACUUCAUUUCGCCAUUGUUUCAAGAGUUCAUGUGUGCAUUGUCGGUGUCAAAACCGGCGGAUAUCGGGUAGGGGGUCCCGAACUGUGCGUCUAAGGCGGAUGGUAACAGGAGGCGGGGGACACGAUGUUUACCCAGGUUCGGGCCCUCUCGAUGGAGGUAAUACCCUACUUCCUCCUUGAUUGAUCUUGAUGAUAUGAGUAUUACAAGAGUUGAUCUACCACGAGAUCGUAGAGGCUAAACCCUAGAAGCUAGCCUAUGAUUAUGAUUGUUGUUAUCCUACGGACUAAACCCUCCGGUUUAUAUAGACACCGGAGGGAGCUAGGGUUACACAGAGUCGGUUACAAGGGAGGAUAUCUACAUAUCCGAAUUGCCAAGCUUGCCUUCCACGCAAAGGAGAGUCCCAUCCGGACACGGGACGAAGUCUUCAAUCUUGUAUCUUCAUAGUCCAACAGUCCGGCCAAAGUAUAUAGUCCGGCUGUCUGAGGACCCCCUAAUCCAGGACUCCCUCAGUAGCCCCUGAACCAGGCUUCAAUGACGAUGAGCCCGGCGCGCAGAUUGUGUUCGGCAUUGCAAGGCGGGUUCCUCCUCCGAAUACUCCAUAGAAUAUUUUGAACACAAGGAUCGUGUCCGGCUCUGCAAAACAAAUUCCACAUACCACCGUAGAGAGUACAAUAUUCCACAAAUGUAAUCUGCUCACAAGUUUUAUAGCGUGACAUCACGCCACGGCCCGGUCAUUAUUCGAACCGUUUUUCCCAACCAACUACUGCACAUAUUGCGAGGCGGUUUUCUUGGCACGUCUUGUCGAAGCAGAGAUCGUGUCCCCUCAUCACGGGAUUCUCAUCAAUACGGGUGUGGGUAACCCAACCGUGCCAUCAAUUACGGCGCUUGGGGAAUAAGCGGGUUUACCAGGCAAGUGGGGAGGCGCGCAGUUUCUACUGCCUUUAUAAAGGGACAAGGACUCCUCUUUUUCUCCCACGCCUUCUUCUUCCUUGCCCAUCCAUUCCCACGCACUCGAGCUCCAGCGCCCAAGUUCGCAUUUUCUCCACAAAACCACUCCAAACAUGUCCGGAGCCGGAGGCAAAUGGAUGGUCUCCUCCGUUACGGAGGAGGACAUUACGAAGCUCCGGGGAGCCGGAUACCUGGCUGCAGACAUCACGCACCGGCUCCCAGACGCACGGCAGAUCGUCCCUACUCCAGAACCCCAUGAGAGGGUGGUAUUUCUUACCCACUUCAUCAGUGGACUGGGAUUUCCCCUCCACCCGUUUGUCCGCGGGCUCAUGUUUUACUAUGGGCUGGACUUCCAUGAUCUGGCUCCUAACUUCAUCCUCAACAUCUCGGCGUUUAUCGUCGUGUGCGAGGCCUUCCUUCGCAUCAAGCCCCACUUCGGCCUAUGGCUGAAGACCUUCAACGUGAAGCCAAAGGUGGUAGUUGGUCAGCAGGCGGAGUGUGGAGGCGCCAUGGUGGGCAAAAUGCCCAACGUCACCUAGCUCAAAGGCUCCUAUGUGGAGACCGUGAAGGGGUGGCAAUCGGGGUGGUUCUACAUCACCGAGCCGCGCGACACCAACUGGGUGGCGGCCCCUGAAUUUCGAUCCGGCAUCCCCAUGCGGCUCACCUCCUGGAAAGAGAAGGACCUAUCUUUGGGCUCGUCGAUGGAGCUGACCGGACUCCAGAAAUGUAUCAAAAACAUGAUGAGAAAGAAAAUCAAGCUCGUCAACGUGCUCCAGGUCAUGCUCUUCCGCCGGAUCCUCCCGUGUCAAAGACGGGCAUUCAAUAUGUGGGAGUUCGACCCGGCCGAGCACCAGACGCUGCGAGAGCUCUUCGACGCGACUCACAAAGACGUCUGGAAGGUUCUGUUCAAGGGCGCCGAGGUGCCUCCCCCCUUACCGAGGAUCGCGGACUCAGCGCAAAGCGCCCUGCCAAUCCGGUAAGUGUUUUACCUCUCACAAGAUGUUCUUUUUCCCCAGUAAAAUCAUGUGGGGGAUCUGAGCUUCCCCGCCAUUUUAACAGGACUGGGUAGCGACAGCGGAGCAGAUCGAUUGUCCAGCCCCCUGCCCAAAGAUCCAGCAGAUGCUCUCCUAACGGAGAUGCUGGUUCCAGCGCCUUAUGAGGCGCCGGAGAAGAAGGCCAAGAAGAAGGCCACGGGGACCAGGAAAGGUCUCCGGCGCAAGGUUAUAUCGGACUCAUCGUCCGAAAACACCGAGGUGCACUCCUCCCAUGAAAAUGAGGAGGAGGAAGAGGGAAGCCCCCCCCCCCCCCCGGCCGGGGGGACAGGAAAAAGAAGGCCGCCCCAUCAGGGGAGGCCAAAGGGUCCAAGAAGGGGAGGACCCUCCUUCCGGACUACUCCACAACGGCCGCUUACAGCGACGAGGAGUGGUUGCCCAGGGACAAGCCCCUGGAGAAGUCGUAAGUAUUCGGAUACCACAAUAGCCCUGGUAUGUUCUGUUGUGUUGCUUCUCAUAAUGCCGAACAUGAUCAUGCAGUCCCUCCAAAGCCCAUAUCGACGUAUCCUCUUCGGAUGGGUCUUUGGGCCCGUUGGCGAUGAACAACGAUUCACUCCCGACCGCCACCUCUCCCCGCCCUACGGACAACGCCGAGGUGUUGUCUCAAAGGGUAUUGAUCCAAGGGGAGAUAGUCCUGGAGGCGCCCCAAGGCGACAUCCCGGACUCUAGGCGCAUGAGGGGCAAGACUUCCAUGGGCACUAAUGCCGGGGCAGCAAGUUUAGCCCCCAGCCGAAUACUGCGCCGGAACCUCCAGUGGUUCCGGAUUCUGUCAGGCGACCCCUCACUAAGGGGGGCGAGCCGUCUGCGCCGAUGACCUCUGUCCAUCCAGAGGCAUCAGACAACUUGCUGGAAGCGCUUCGCGGCACUUCCAUUGAUGAAGAGCACCGCACUAUCAUGAGUGCAGUGGUCAAGAAGGUUUAGUCCGCCAAAAGCGGACUGACUGAAGCCUGUGCCAGCCUCCUAACAGGCUUUGAGGUAAGUAGUCAAAUUAUAAGAAAAUGUCAUAGCAUAGACAGUAGCCCCUGAUGCUCUGUUUGGCGUUCGUAAAGAAAGGCCGAACAGAGGAUCGAAUAACAAUCACAGGAGUCUAAUCAGAGUAUGUCUAUGUGAAUAAGCUUGCUUCACUGCUGGCCGCUGCCGCUCGUACUGCGGAGGUCGCCGCACUGAAGCGGGACCUUGAGGGGUCGAAGGAAGAGCUCGGCCUUACCAAGAGGCAGCUCGAAGAGAACAAAGGUAAGUGAUACCCCGUCUGUAUAUUGAUAAAGAAAAAUGUGGUUUAAAUAAUAGAAUCGUCAUGAAUUUUGCUAGGGGCCACGACCGAAGUGGCGGCCCUGAAGAAGGCGCUGUCCAAGCCGAAGACAAAGCGGCCAAGAAGCGCACUGAGCGCGAGAGGCACGAGGCCCGAGUUGGCGAGGUUCAGCAAGAGCUCCAGGAUUUCGUCAAGAAAUACAAGUCCUUGGAGCGUGACUCUAAGACGCAAGGGUCCGAGCUUGCGAAGGCCCUCGAGAACGCACAAAAUGCCAAGGCCGAAGCCCAAAAGGCCCUCCAAGAGAUUUAGGCGGUUAAGAAGAUAGCGGCGGGUAAGGCAUUCAUUAUGCAAAGCAAGCAUGUGAAGAAAACUUUCCUUUUACUUACCCGAGUUUGGAGCUCUCCAGGAGCGUUUGCAGAUCUACCCCACAGUGUGUCGGAUGCCGCGGAAUUCUACUGGGCCGAGGAUGGGAGCUCGACAGAGAAGUUGUUCUGGUCUCAGUACACUGGGACUGAACAUCCGAUGCCCUUGAGCGACCAGUUGAAGCAACUGGUCGAACUUCACAAGGCGGCCGAACAGGCCAUGAAGGGCCUCAUGGUCCGGAUGUGGCCUGGCGAGCCCCUACCUGGCAGCUACUUUGGACUGGUAAGGCGGCUUGUGAAUGCCUGCCCACGGCUUGAAGUCAUCAAGCGGUCCGUCUGCAUUGAGGGUGCGCACAGGGCCUUUGCCUGGACGAAAGUGCACUGGGCGAAGAUGGACGGCGAAAAGCUGGUGAAGGAGGGGCCGCCGGAGGGCAAGGAGCAUCGCCACCCCGAGAAGUAUUAUGACAGUGUCCUGAAGGGUGCUCGCCUUGUGGCAGAGGAAUGUGCUAAGGAUGUAAUAUUUGAAUGAAUGUACUCAUGUGAUCCUGUAAUAUGAAAUGAGUUCAUCUGCGCUAUGCAACUCUUGUUAAUUUAAAAUAUUACCUUCUGUGCGGCCGUUUAUAAAAUCUGAGAGUUGGCCAGUCGUCGGCUUUUGCCCCCGUGUAGCUAGCACUGGGGUGUUCGGGAUAAACCUGAUCACUCUUUAUCCCAAUUUUUGGGUCCUUCGAAGGAGGUGUUCAGCACAACGAACCAGGCAAUCGGACUAUAAAGCUUUAUCACUCUCACUUAGCCAUAGAAGUCUACAAUUUUAAAUUUUGGCGAAGCCCCUAGUAUUCGGAAGGCCGAAUUUGGGGCGCUAUAUACGCCUAAAUCGGACAAGGCCGACUCCUCGCCCGAAGCGGAAAAAAUCUUUAAGGAUUUGAGACCUCUCGAACAGCGACCAGCUCUCGCCGCAUCUUGACAGUCAGUUUUCGGCUUUCUCUACUAAGGUGCUCAACCGGAAGAACCGAGACUCAAUCGCAGUAGUUCUCCCAGUGCUACCUUAGCCGAUAUAGCGGAACGUAAGGUACCAAAACAUGGGAGCCGGGCAAACCCAACUAUUGACCCAAGACAUGAUUCGGAGCUGAUGCAUAUAAUGCUAUAAGUUCGGGGUGCCGCACUAUCGAAAGUGUUCGGACUUUUCGUGCCGUGUUAUGGGGUACACUGAAGCCCCUGGCGCGCUUGUCGUACCAGAAUGUACGAGUGCCACUUGUCGUAAAUAAGCAGACAAGGAAAAAAAGAAAUGCAAUUAUAGGCUAACGCUAUACAUUGUUAUUUAAAUAAUACGUCAAAGCAUACGUAUACAAGUAGUGCAAUAAGCAAAAAAUAGGACUAUUUGACAUGUUCUAUCCAAGGGCAAGCUGCGUAUGGGUAUGUAAAAACAGGUACAUCGAUCGUUUAUCAGAGACCACCUGGGAAUUCCGUUGUACGUCAGAGCUUGUUGCUUCCUUGGUAUUUCCUUCCCUUAAUGGGUCCGACGAUCAGACUGCCGGAAAGGGCUUCCAGAGAAUAAGGUCCUGAAAGAGAGAAAAUGAUAGAGGUAUACGAUCCCUGAGGCGGUUGAGCCGCAUUGUGGGUCAUGCCAUAGCCGUGCCUCCGCCUAUGCCCAUGGUAUCUUGAGUGCGUAGUUAUGUACGCGCGGCACAAAUUUCGCCGCUUGACUGGGACUAUGACGGAGGCCGAAUUGCUACCCAAGCUCUGAACGUGCUUGGAGAUCCUGUUGCAGGUUACUUCGGACUCGCUUGAAGGUGUCCGGGUUCCUUUUUGCCGAAUUGGCGGUUGGCCUCAGAAGGCUGCUUUGUGCUUCCGCUGCGAGGGCUGCAGUGUGCUCCUCCGUGCGGAGCGAGCGUUCUGUGUUUCCAUUAACUGUUAUAACUCCGCGAGGUCCUGGCAUUUUGAGCUUGAGGUAUGCAUAAUGCGGUACCGCAUUGAAUCUAGCAAAUGCGGUUCGUCCGAGUAGUGCGUGAUAGCCACUGCGGAAGGGGACGAUUUCGAAGAUUAACUCCUCGCUUCGGAAGUUGUCCGGAGAUCCGAAGACCACUUCCAGUGUGAUUGAGCCCGUGCAACAGGCCUCUACACCUGGUAUGACACCCUUGAAGGUGGUUUUUGUGGGUUUGAUCUGAUCCUCGAGGGGUCUAUACCCAUUUUGCGCACUGUAUCCUGAUAGAGCAGGUUCAAGCUGCUGCCACCGUCCAUAAGGACUCGAGUGAGGUGAAAUCCGUCAAUGAUGGGAUCAAGAACCAAUGCGGCAGAACCGCCAUGACGGAUACUAGUGGGGUGGUCCCUGUGAUCGAAAGUGAUCGGACAAGAAGACCAUGGGUUGAACUUUGGGGCGACUGGCUCCAUCGCAUAGACGUCCCUUAGUGCACGAUUCCGUUCCCUCUUGGGAAUAUGGGUUGCGUAUAUCAUGUUCACCGUUUUCACUUGGGGAGGAAAUUUCCUCUGUCCUCCUGUGUAUUACAAGAUUUGAUCUACCACGAGAUCAUAGAGGCUAAACCCUAGAAGCUAGCCUAUGAUUAUGAUUGUUGUUGUCCUACGGACUAAACCCUCCGGUUUAUAUAGACACCGGAGGGAGCUAGGGUUACACAGAGUCGGUUACAAGGGAGGAGAUCUACAUAUUCGAAUUGCCAAGCUUGCCUUCCAAGCAAAGGAGAGUCCCAUCCGGACAUGGGACGAAGUCUUCAAUCUUGUAUCUUCAUAGUCCAACAGUCCGGCCAAAGUAUAUAGUCCGGCUGUCCGAGGACCCCCUAAUCCAGGACUCCCUCAUGCAUACCUCGGGGUGCAUCAAAAUGGAAGAUCCUUUUUGUUUUACCACAUUGAGUACCUGAAUGCCUUUCUGAAAAUCAAUCUUCACACACGCACAUUGUGUAGUGGUACUCCAUGUCCUCCAUAAUUGUUCUUGGAUCUCAAUCUCCCAUCGUUGCAAGAGGGCUGAUAGGUAUGCCUUUUGCACCUGCACAUAUUUCAAAGAGAGAGAAUUUUGUGAAAGGUUAGUUAUUGAAUGUUCCUCUCUUUUCAUUUGGUGAACUACUAAUUUCCCAUGGUGGUGGAUCGCUAAUCUCGCUAUUAUCUUGUUGAGAAAUAUCAACCUCACAUUUAGUGGACUCACACAACACAGUAAUCCUCUCUCCCUGAAUGUGUGGUAUAUCUUGGUGGGGAUCAUGCACUUCUCUAAUCUCAUGAUGAAUAAUCUGAUCCUCACAUUUUGUGACUCACUCACCUCACUUUUCUUAUCACACUCAAUAUAUGGAAUUGUGGACAGUGGACACUCUUCCUCACAUUUGUUGGAGUCACUCAACUCAUUUUUCUUUUCACUCUCAAGUGGUGGGAUUUUUGAAAGUGGACACUCUUCCUCAGUUUUGGUGGAGUCACUCCGCUUGCUUUUCUUAUCUCUCUCAAGUUGUGGGAUUUUGGAUUGUGAACUCUCUUCCUCACAUGAAAUUUGUGGCGCAUGUUUCCUGGAUGUUGGGAAAAUAAUGGUGGUCAAGAUGGGAACAUUAGGAAUGAACUUCUUAUGUAAACAUGGGCUAUGAAUCACUGGAGUCAGUUCGUCAACCACGGUAAUACUUUAUGGUGGGUCAUCGGUGUGCCGACGGGUGACGUAACUUUGCUAUCGACCAUGACGUCCUUGCUGCGAUUCAUGAUCAGCAAUAACAUGCCUAGGGGCAGCAGUAGCUUGCCCUCAAGCAUGUCGUCCUUGCCGCAUUUCAGGAGCAGCAGCAGCACACCAACGACCAGUAGCGACACCAUGCCAUGCAUGUGUUCUUUGCUGCACCUCAUGAGUAGAAGGGUAUUGUCGGUAUUGAACCCUAUCACCACCUGCUAGAGGACGCUCGUGAAGCAUCCUCUCCAUGGCUCGGAGUAUGUUGUUCUCGAGUUGCUGCACAUCAACACGGGUGGCCAAACAAUUUUCUCCUCCAUGAUUCUUUUGACGCGUACUUGGUGUAGAUCCUGCCAUGUUAGUGGGGCUACAAAAGUGGAAUAGGAUAACUUUUGUGGAAUCACACAACCUCACCUCUUACUCACCAAAGUUCUUAUGAGUUCACAUCAGAUUGUGCUUUUCCUGGAUGUGUUAAAGCGAUUGAAAGACAAGGAUCAAAGAACUAGCUUCGGUUUUUGGUGGAGCUCAGUGGGGUAAAAAAGGGGUUUGUGCUAAAAUCAAGUUGAUGCAAACCAAGAAAAUAUGGGGAUAGAUCUGCCUCACCUUUGCACCAAGAUUGAAAAACACACAACACACAAGGUUUUGAAAUUUUUCUACCGCUGAAACUUUUGGAUCUUACACAAUGCUUUCUUUUUCUCUCUUGACUUUUUUGCCACUCUUUUUCUUUCUUUCUUAAAAUUUUUUGCCACACUUUUUUUCACUCUUUUUCCAAAGCACAACAACCAAACUAAAAACAAUUACGAAGAUGAACUUGGUGCAGAUCUAAAAGAUGAAGAACAUGUAAGGUAUGCAAAAAGAAGAUCUCAGCACCAACAAGGCUUGGAUUUAUUUUUGGUGGGGCUUUGUACUUCUAGGACAGAAAAUAUAGCAUGAAAAACACUCGAUCCAAAGGGAUGAUAGCAAGAUAAACUUGGAUAACAGAUCCUACCAUGUCAACGAAAGCUCUGAUGCCAGAUGAUAGGUGGGAACCCGAUGAACGAAUUCACGCCCGAGGGGGGCCCGAUCUUCACCUUGUAGGAUCGAAUCAGGAGGGAUAACUACCUGCAAGCAUCCAGGAUAACUAGCUUUAUACCUGCCAAGGUUGGAUGCAACCCGUACGUUGGGGAUGGCUGACCGAAGCUACAAGAACUCCAACCCGAUGUCCGAACAAUCGCAGAACCACAAACAUGGACUAACCCACACAAAACGGACGGAACCGAGGCUCCUUCUCGCGAAUCUGGAUGAAUUCACAAGAGCAAAGGUAGCAAGGAUCUCUCGGAUCUCUCUAGCAGUCUUGCUGCAUAAGCCUGUAGCUGAAUGGUUUGACAAAAGGUUCUUUCUAGAGGAUGUGGGAGGUGGGGUUUUAUAGUAGGGACAACCCCCUUAGCUAGGUGUGAAAAUGGUUUCAAAAGUAAAUAGGUUUGGAUGGCUUCCUUGAGGGAAUAAGCAGUCAACUUUGGGAGUUGUUGGAGAGCCCCUGAGAAACUCGUGAAGCCUUGACAGCCUGGACACCUUCCACGAGAUCGGCUAGAACUUUUGACUCACAACUCCAAAUGAUGUGAUGUUUUUUUGCAUUGGAAAUAUAAUUUGAUGUAGCUUGUGGUGAUGUACCCCUAUGGCCCUGUCUCUCCACCACAUGGGUGUGGCACAACAAGACAUCAGAGGUAAAAACUAAUAGCAUCAGCUUCACUUGAAACUUGUUAUCUCCAAACUUGUUCCUCCAAACCGGUUGCUUCAAGAGCUCAUAGAUUAUUGCAUUUCUUCCAUGUGAUACCUCAGUUCAACCAACAACAAUGGAUAUGAAAUUGCAGCCAUGUAUUCAAGAUUAUAGUAUGAACUUAAGUUAGCGUUCACCUGGGCAUGUGUUUGCAUGAUUCGGCUUAGUAAUUCUUUCUACCUAAAUUUUGCACAUUUCUAAAAAGUCGUGUAUGAUGUACCCAUGUGCUAAUCAUCCUCCCUACCUUGAUGAAGUGUCGUCCUUGACUCUCGUUGAUCUACAAAAUAUAAGUACAAGGGAAGUAGAUAAUAUUCAUGCAAAGGAAUAAUGCAAUCCUCAUUUGUAGCUUUCACCUUAGAAUUGUGUUGCAUCUGAUCAUGCAUUUGUUUAUCACACUUGGAGUUUGUCCAGGGAUGAUCGGUGUUGUUUCAUUAAUUGAGAUGUCCUCAUCAUCCCCCCUCUCUUGAAAAAGAGUCAUCCUCGACUCUACCUGGUCAUCACAUAAAGGAAAGUAGGGCAAUACCAAAUCAUAAUGCAAAGGUGUCAUGAUAUAGAGAUUUUUACUUUUCAAGUUUGGUAUCUUAUGGAUGAUGCCAACAUGAUAUUUUGUUCGACUUAGGAGUUCCUUCCGGCAAACAUUUCCAUGGCGCAAAAUUUAUAACCAACCAUGAGCAUGUCCAUAUCAUCCUCCAUCUCUUGGAGAAAAGUCAUCCUCAACUUUACUCGGUCUACAAAAUUAUAGCACAAGGACACUACAAAAUAACUAGGGAAAGAAAAAGUUGAACUUUUUUGUGUGGAUCUCAAGUUUCCCAAAUCCAUUGUUUUUCCAUCAUGGUUGAACAAAUUAUAUUGAUGGAUUGAUGGUGUGCUGGAGUAUGUGCCCAAUAAAUUUUCUCUUAUUUCAUUUUUCCAUUGUUUCAAGAGUUCAUAUGUGCAUACCUCGGGGUGCAUCAAAAUGGAAGAUCCUUUUUGUUUUACCUCAUUGAGUACUUGAAUGCCUUUCCGAAAUCAAUCUUCACACACGCACCUCGUGUAGUGGUGUUGGAAAUAUGCCCUAGAGGCAAUAAUAAAAUGGUUAUUAUUAUAUUUCUUUGUUCAUGAUAAUUGUCUAUUGUUCAUGGUAUAAUUGUGUUGUCCGGAAAUCGUAAUACAUGUGUGAACACAUAGACCAUAACAUGUCCCUAGUGAGCCUCUAGUUGACUAGCUCGUUGAUCAAUAGAUGGUUACGGUUUCCUGACCAUGGACAUUGGAUGUCAUUAAUAACAGGAUCACAUCAUUAGGAGAAUGAUGUGAUGGACAAGACCCAAUCCUAAGCAUAGCACUAGAUCAUGUAGUUCGUUUGCUAAAGCUUUUCUAAUCUCAAGUAUCAUUUCCUUAGACCAUGAGAUCGUGCAACUCCCGGAUACCGUAGGAAUGCUUUGGGUGUACCAAACGUCACAACGUAACUGGGUGGCUAUAAAGGUGCACUACAGGUAUCUCCGAAAGUGUCUGUUGGGUUGGCACGGAUCGAGACUGGGAUUUGUCACUCCGUAUGAUGGAGAGGUAUCUCUGGGCCCACUCGGUAAUGCAUCAUCAUAAUGAGCUCAAUGUGACUAAGUAGUUAGUCACGGGAUCAUGCAUUACGGAACGAGUAAUGUGACUUGCCGGUAACGAGAUUGAACGAGGUAUUGGGAUACCGACAAUCGAAUCUCGGGCAAGUAACGUACCGAUUGACAAAGGGAAUUGUAUACGGGAUUGCUUGAAUCCUCGACAUCAUGGUUCAUCCGAUGAGAUCAUCGUGGAACAUGUGGGAGCCAACAUGGAUAUCCAGAUCCCGCUGUUGGUUAUUGGCUAGAGAGGUGUCUCGGUCAUGUCUGCAUGGUUCCCGAACCCGGAGGGUCUACACGCUUAAGGUUUGAUGACGCUAGGGUUAUAAGGAAGGUUUGUAUGUGAUUACCGAAUGUUGUUCGGAGUCCUGGAUGAGAUCCCGGACGUCACGAGGAGUUCCGGAAUGGUCUGGAGGUGAAGAUUUAUAUAUGGGAAGUCAUCAUACGGUCACCGGAAGUGUUCGGGGGUAUGCCGGUAUUGUACCGGGGCCACCGAAGGGGUUCCGGGGGUCCACCGGGAGGGUCCACCUGCCCUGGAGGGCCUUAUGGGCUGUAGGUGGAAGGGAACCAGCCCCUAAGUGGGCUGGGCGCCAACCCCCCUAGGGCCCAUGCGCCUAAGGUUGGGGGGAACCCUAAAGGGGGGCGCCCCCUUGCUUGGGGGGCAGGCCCCCUCCCCCUUGGCCGCCGCCACCCCUCUAGAGCUCAUCUAGAGGGGCCGGCCCCCUUCCCCCUUCUCCCUAUAAAUAGAGGGGUGAGGGGAGGGCUGCAACACCACAUCCAAGGCGCAGCCCCUCCCCUCCCCAACACCUCUCCUCCUCCGCGUGAGCUUGGCGAAGCCCUGCCGGAGAACUGCCACUCCAUCACCACCACGCCGUCGUGCUGCUGUUGGAUCCUUCUUCCUCAACCUCUCCCUCCUCCUUGCUGGACCAAGGCGCGGGAGACGUCACCGGGCUGCACGUGUGUUGAACGCGGAGGUGCCGUUGUUCGGCGCUAGGAUCGGAAUCCACCGCGAUCUGAAUCGCUACGAGUAUGACUCCCUCAUCCGUGUUCUUGCAACGCUUCCGUCUUGCGAUCUUCCACGGUAUGAAGAUGCACUCUCCUCUCUCUCGUUGCUUGUUACUCCAUAGAUUGAUCUUGGUGAUGCGUAGAAAUUUUUUGAAUUUCUGCUACGAUCUCCAACAGUGGCAUCAUGAGCUAGGUCUAUGCGUAGUUUCUAUGCACGAGUAGAACACAAGUUGUGGUGGGCGUCGAUUUUGUCAAUUUACUUGCCGUUACUAGUCUUAUAUUGAGUCGGCGGCAUCGUGGGAUGAAGCGGCCCAGACCGACCUUACACGUACGCUUACGUGAGACAGGUUCCACCGACUGACAUGCACUAGUUGCAUAAGGUGGCUAGCGGGUGUCUGUCUCUCCCACUUUAGUCGGAUCGGAUUCGAUGAAAAGGGUCCUUAUGAAGGGUAAAUAGAAAUUGGCAUAUCACGUUGUGGUUUUGGCGUAGGUAAGAAACGUUCUUGCUAGAAACCUAUAGCAGCCACGUAAAAAAAUUGCAACAACAAUUAGAGGACGUCUAACUUGUUUUUGCAGCAUGUGUCAUGUGAUGUGAUAUGGCCAGAAGGAUGUGAUGAAUGAUAUAUGUGAUGUAUGAGAUUGAUCAUGUUCUUGUAAUAGGAAUCACGACUUGCAUGUCGAUGAGUAUGACAACCGGCAGGAGCCAUAGGAGUUGUCUUAAUUUAUUUAUGACCUGCGUGUCAACUGGAACGUCAUGUAAUUACUUUACUUUAUUGCUAACCGUUAGCUAUAGUAGUAGAAGUAAUAGUUGGCGAGACAACUUCAUGAAGACACGAUGAUGGAGAUCAUGAUGAUGGAGAUCAUGAUGAUGGAGAUCAUCGUGUCAUGCCGGUGUCGAUGAUGAUCAUGGCGCCCCGAAGAUGGAGAUCAAAAGGAGCAAAAUGAUAUUGGCCAUAUCAUGUCACUAUUUGAUUGCAUGUGAUGUUUAUCAUGUUUUACAUCUUAUUUGCUUAGAACGACGGUAGCCUAAAUAAGAUGAUAUCUCACUAAAAUUUCAAGAAUUGUGUUCCCCUAACUGUGCACCGUUGCUAAAGUCCAUUGUUCCGAAGCACCACGUGAUGAUCGGGUGUGAUAGGUCCUAACGUUCGCAUACAACGGGUGUAAGCCAGAUUUACACACGCAAUACACUUAGGUUGACUUGACGAGCCUAGCAUGUACAGACAUGGCCUCGGAACACGGAAGACCGAAAGGUCGAACAUGAGUCGUAUAGAAGAUACGAUCAACAUGAAGAUGUUCACCGAUGAUGACUAGUCCGUCUCACGUGAUGAUCGGACACGGCCUAGUUGACUCGGAUCAUGUAUCACUUAGAUGACUGGAGGGAUGUCUGUCUGAGUGGGAGUUCAUUAAUAAUUUGAUUAGAUGAACUUAAUUAUCAUGAACUUAGUCUAAAAUCUUUACAAUAUGUCUUGUAGAUCAAAUGGCCCACACUAAUGUCAACCUCAACUUCAACGCGUUCCUAGAGAAAACCAAGCUGAAAGACGAUGGUAGCAACUAUACAGACUGGGUCCAGAACUUGAGGAUCAUCCUCAUAGCUGCCAAGAAAGCAUAUGUCCUUGAAGCACCGCUAGGUGAAGCACCCGUCCCAGUAAACCAAGACGUUAUGAACGCUUGGCAAACACGUGUUGAUGAUUACUCCCUGGUUCAGUGUGGCAUGCUUUACAGCUUAGAACCGGGGCUCCAAAAGCGUUUCGAGCAGCACGGAGCAUAUGAGAUGUUCCAAGAGCAGAAAAUCGUUUUCCAAGCUCAUUCCCGGGUCGAGAGAUAUGAAGUCUCCGACAAGUUCUACAUUUGUAAGAUGGAGGAGAAUAGUUCCGUCAGCGAACACAUACUCAAAAUGUCUGGGUUGCACAACCGCUUGUCUCAGCUGGGAGUUAAUCUCCCGGAUGACGCGGUCGUUGACAGAAUCCUUCAGUCGCUCCCACCUAGCUACAAGAGCUUUGUGAUGAACUUCAAUAUGCAGGGGAUGGAAAAGACCAUUCCUGAGGUAUAUUCAAUGCUGAAAUCAGCGGAGGUGGAGAUCAAAAAGGAACAUCAAGUGUUGAUGGUGAAUAAAACCACUAAGUUCAAGAAAGGCAAGGGUAAGAAGAACUUCAAGAAAUACGGCAAGGGAGUUGCCGCGCCAGGUAAGCAAGCUGCCGGGAAGAAGACAAAGAAUGGACCCAAGCCUGAGACUGAGUGUUUUUAUUGCAAGGGAAACGGACACUGGAAGCGGAACUGCCCCAAGUACUUAGCGGAUAAGAAGGCCGGCAAUACCAAAGGUAUAUGUGAUAUACAUGUUAUUGAUGUGUACCUAACUAGCGCUCGUAGUAGCUCCUGGGUAUUUGAUACCGGUGUGGUUGCUCAUAUUUGUAACUCAAAGCAGGAGCUGCGGAAUAAGCGGAGACUAGUGAAGGACGAGGUAACGAGGCGCGUCGGGAAUGGUUCCAAGGUCGAUGUGAUCGCCGUCGGCACGCUACCUCCACAUUUACCUACGAGAUUAGUUUUAAACCUCAAUAAUUGUUAUUUAGUGCCAUCUUUGAGCAUGAACAUUGUAUCAGGAUCUCAUUAGAUGCGAGAUGGCUACUCAUUUAAAUCCGAGAAUAAUGGUUGUUCUAUAUAUAUGAGAGAUAUGUUUUAUGGUCAUGCCCCGCUGGUCAAUGGUUUAUUCUUAAUGAAUCUCUAACGUAAUGUUACACAUAUUCAUAGUGUGAAUGCCAAGAAAUGUAAGGUUGAUAAUGAUAGUCCCACAUACUUGUGGCACUGCCGCCUUGGUCACAUUGGUGUCAAACACAUGAAGAAACUCCAUGCAGAUGGACUUUUGGAGUCUCUUGAUUAUGAAUCAUUUGACACGUACGAACCAUGCCUCAUGGGAAAAAUGACCAAGACUCCCUUCUCCGGAACAAUGGAGUGAGCAACCAACUUAUUGGAAAUCAUACAUACUAAUGUGUGCGGUCCAAUGAGCAUUGAGGCUUGCGGUGACUAUCAUUAUGUUCUCACCCUCACUGAUGACUUGAGUAGAUAUGGGUAUGUCUACUUAAUGAAACACAAGUCUGAGACCUUUGAAAAGUUCAAGGAAUUUCAGAGUGAGGUUGAAAAUCAACGUGACAGGAAAAUAAAGUUCUUACGAUCAGAUCCUGGAGGGGAAUAUUUGAGUCACGAAUUUGGCACACACUUAAGGAAAUGUGGAAUUGUUUCACAACUCACGCCGCCUGGAACACCUCAGCAUAAUGGUGUGUCCGAACGUCGUAAUCGUACUCUAUUGGAUAUGGUGUGAUCUAUGAUGUCUCUUACCGAUCUACUGCUAUCAUUUUGGGGUUAUGCUUUAGAGACUGCCACAUUCACUUUAAAUAGGGCUCCGUCGAAAUCCGUUGAGACGACACCAUAUGAAUUAUGGUUUGGAAAGAAACCUAAGCUGUCGUUUCUUAAAGUUUGGGGAUGCGAUGCUUAUGUCAAGAAACUUCAACCUGAAAAGCUCAAACCCAAGUCGGAAAAAUGCGUCUUCAUAGGAUACCCUAAGGAAACCAUUGGGUAUACCUUCUACCUCAGAUCCGAAGGCAAGAUCUUCGUUGCCAAGAACGGGUCUCUGGAGAAAGAGUUUCUCUCGAAAGAAGUAAGUGGGAGGAAAGUGGAACUUGAUGGAUGACCCCUCUCGAACCAGAAAGUAGCGCGGCACAAGAAAAUGUUUCUGUGGUGCCUGCACCGACUAGAGAGGAAGUUAAUGAUGACGAUCAUGAUCAAGUUACCACUGAACUUCGUAGGUCCACAAGGACACGUUCCGCACCAAAGUGGCAUGGCAACCCUGUCCUGGAAAUCAUGUUGUUGGACAACGGUGAACCUUCGAACUAUGAAGAAGCAAUGGCGGGCCCAGAUUCCAACAAAUGGCUUGAAGCCAUGCAAUCCGAGAUAGGAUCCAUGUAUGAAAACAAAGUAUGGACUUUGACAGACUUGCCCGAUGAUCGGCGAGCGAUAGAAAAUAAAUGGAUCUUUAAGAAGAAGACGGAUGCGGAUGGAAAUGUUACCAUCUAUAAAGCUCGACUUAUCGCUAAGGGUUAUCGACAAGUUCAAGGAGUUGACUACGAUGAGACCUUCUCACCCGUAGCGAAGCUGAAGUCCGUCUGAAUCAUGAUAGCAAUUGCCGCAUUCUACGAUUAUGAAAUAUGGCAAAUGGACGUCAAAACGGCAUUCCUUAACGGCUUCCUUAAGGAAGAAUUGUAUAUGAUGCAGCCGGAAGGUUUUGUCGAUCCUAAGAAUGCUGACAAGGUAUGCAAGCUCCAGCGCUCAAUCUAUGGGCUGGUGCAGGCAUCUCGGAGUUGGAACAUUCACUUUGAUGAGAUGAUCAAAGCGUUUGGGUUUACACAGACUUAUGAAGAAGCCUGUGUUUACAAGAAAGUGAGUGGGAGCUCUGUAGCAUUUCUCAUAUUAUAUGUGGAUGACAUACUAUUGAUGGGAAAUGAUAUAGAAUUCUUGGAAAGCAUAAAGGCCUACUUGAAUAAGUGUUUUUCAAUGAAGGACCUUGGAGAAGCUGCUUACAUAUUAGGCAUCAAGAUCUAUAGAGAUAGAUCGAGACGCCUCAUAGGUCUUUCAAAAAGCACAUACCUUGACAAGAUAUUGAAGAAGUUCAAUAUGGAUCAGUCCAAGAAGGGUUCUUGCCUGUAUUGCAAGGUGUGAAAUUGAGCACGGCUCAAUGCCCGACCACGGCAGAAGAUAGAGAAAAGAUGAGUGUCGUCCCCUAUGCCUCGGCCAUAGGGUCUAUUAUGUAUGCCAUGCUGUGUACCAGACCUGAUGUAAACCUUGCCGUAAGUUUGGUAGGAAGGUACCAAAGUAAUCCCGGCAUGGAACACUGGACAGCGGUCAAGAACAUCCUGAAGUACCUGAAAAGGACUAAGGAUAUGUUUCUCGUUUAUGGAGGUGACGAAGAGCUCGUCGUAAAGGGUUACAUCGAUGCUAGCUUCGACACAGAUCUGGAUAACUCUAAGUCACAAACCGGAUACGUGUAUAUUUUGAAUGGUGGGGCAGUCAGCUGGUGCAGUUGCAAGCAAAGCAUCAUGGCGGGAUCUACAUGUGAAGCGGAGUACAUGGCAGCCUCGGAGGCAGCACAUGAAGCAAUCUGGAUGAAGGAGUUCAUUGCCGACCUAGGAGUUAUUCCCAAUGCAUCGGGGCCGAUGACUCUCUUCUAUGACAACACUGGAGCUGUUGCCCUUGCCAAGGAGCCCAGGUUUCACAAGAAGACCAGGCACAUCAAGCGUCGGUUCAACUCCAUUCGUGAAAAUGUUCAAAAUGGAGACAUAGAUAUUUGUAAAGUGCAUACGGAUUUGAAUGUCGCAGAUCCGUUGACUAAACCUCUUCCACGGGCGAAACAUGAUCAACACCAGAACUCUAUGGGUGUACGAUUCAUCACAAUGUAACUAGAUUAUUGACUCUAGUGCAAGUGGGAGACUGUUGGAAAUAUGCCCUAGAGGCAAUAAUAAAAUGGUUAUUAUUAUAUUUCCUUGUUCAUGAUAAUUGUCUAUUGUUCAUGCUAUAAUUGUGUUGUCCGGAAAUCGUAAUACAUGUGUGAACACAUAGACCAUAACAUGUCCCUAGUGAGCCUCUAGCUGACUAUCUCGUUGAUCAAUAGAUGGUUACGGUUUCCUGACCAUGGACAUUGGAUGUCAUUGAUAACGGGAUCACAUCAUUAGGAGAAUGAUGUGAUGGACAAGACCCAAUCCUAAGCAUAGCACUAGAUCGUGUAGUUCGUUUGCUAAAGCUUUUCUAAUGUCAAGUAUCAUUUCCUUAGACCAUGAGAUCGUGCAACUCCCGGAUACCGUAGGAAUGCUUUGGGUGUACCAAACGUCACAACGUAACUGGGUGGCUAUAAAGGUGCACUACAGGUAUCUCCGAAAGUGUCUGUUGGGUUGGCACGGAUCGAGACUGGGAUUUGUCACUCCUUAUGACGGAAAGGUAUCUCUGGGCCCACUCGGUAAUGCAUCAUCAUAAUGAGCUCAAUGUCACUAAGUAGUUAGUCACGGGAUCAUGCAUUACAGAACGAGUAAAGUGACUUGCUGGUAACGAGAUUGAACGAGGUAUUGGGAUACCGACGAUCAAAUCUCAGGCAAGUAACGUACCGAUUGACAAAGGGAAUUGUAUACGGGAUUGCUUGAAUCCUCGACAUCAUGAUUCAUCCGAUGAGAUCAUCGUGGAACAUGUGGGAGCCAACAUGGGUAUCCAGAUCCCGCUGUUGGUUAUUGGCUAGAGAGGUGUCUCGGUCAUAUCUGCAUGAUUCCCGAACCCGUAGGGUCUACACACUUAAGGUUUGAUGACGCUAGGGUUAUAAGGAAGGUUUGUAUGUGAUUACCGAAUGUUGUUCGGAGUCCCGGAUGAGAUCCCGGAUGUCACGAGGAGUUCCGGAAUGGUUCGGAGGUGAAGAUUUAUAUAUGGGAAGUCAUCAUACGGUCACCGGAAGUGUUCGGGGGUAUGCCGGUAUUGUACCGGGGCCACCGAAGGGGUUCCGGGGGUCCAUCGGGAGGGUCCACCUGCCCCGGAGGGCCUUAUGGGUUGUAGGUGGAAGGGAACCAGCCCCUAGUGGGCUGGGCGCCAACCCCCCUAGGGCCCAUGCGCCUAGGGUUGGGGGAACCCUAAAGGGGGGCGUCCCCCUUGCUUGGGGGGCAAGCCCCCUCCCCCUUGGCCGCCGCCCCCCUCUAGAUCUCAUCUAGAGGGGCCGGCCCCCUUUCCCCUUCUCCCUAUAAAUAGAGGGGUGAGGGGAGGGCUGCAGCACCACAUCCAAGGCGCAACCCCUCCCCUCCCCAACACCUCUCCUCCUCCGCGUGAGCUUGGCGAAGCCCUGCCGGAGAACUGCCACUCCAUCACCACCACGCCGUCGUGCUGCUGUUGGAGCCUUCUUCCUCAACCUCUCCCUCCUACUUGCUGGAUCAAGGCGCGGGAGACGUCACCGGGCUGCACGUGUGUUGAACGUGGAGGUGCCGUUGUUCGGAGCUAGGAUCGGAAUCCACCGCGAUCUGAAUCGCUACGAGUACGACUCCCUCAUCCGCGUUCUUGCAACGCUUCCGUCUGGCGAUCUUCAACGGUAUGAAGAUGCACUCUCCUCUCUCUCGUUGCUAGUUACUCCAUAGAUUGAUCUUGGUAAUGCGUAGAAAUUUUUUUAAUUUCUGCUACGAUCUCCAACAAGUGGUACUCCAUGUCCUCCAUAUUUGUUCUUGGAUCUCAAUCUCCCGUCAUGGCAAGAUGGCUGAUAGGUAUGCCUUUUGCACCUGCACAUAUUUCAAAGACAGAGAAUUUUGUGAAAGGUUAGUUACUGAAUGUUCCUCUCUCUUUUCAUUUGGUGGACUACUAAUUUCCCAUGGUGGUGGAUUAGUUAUCUCGCUUUUAUCUUGUUGAAAAAUAUCAACCUCACAUUUAGUGGACUCACACAACACAGUAAUCCUCUCUCCCUGAAUGUGUGGUAUAUCUAGGUGGGGACCUUGCAUUUCUCUAAUCUCAUGAUGAACAAUCUGAUCCUCACAUUUUGUGGACUCACUCACCUCAAUUUUCUUAUCACCCUCAAUAUAUGGAAUUGUGGAAAGUGGACACUCUUCCUCACAUUUGGUGGAGUCACUCAACUCAUUUUUCUUUUCACUCUCAAGUGGUGGGAUUUUUGAAAGUGGACACCAGGGCACCUUUUUUUUUGAGAUUUUUGGUUUCAGUUUCCAAAUAUACUCGGUUUUUUCGGUUAGAAACCAUUUGAUCUUCGGUUUUUUCAGUUAGAAACCAAACGGUUUCAGUUAAACCAAUAGAACCAAAAAUAGCUCGGAUUGAGCUAAAAUCUGUACCUAACCCUUCAGCCUCCACUUAUUUUAUAGCCCCUCGCCCAGUGCGCUGCAGCUCCGUAGGUGAUAUGGUACUAAACAUCUAAACCGCUGGAGCUUGAACUCACCAGGGCACCUUUUUUUUGAGAAAUUUUAAUUUUUUUUUGAGAAAUCUCACCAGGGCACCUGGCGCGCGCGAUACUUAGUUGGGCCUCAAAUUGUCCCGCCCAUACGGCCGCUUUCGUCGAGCGAUCCACGCGCAGACGACUACAUCCCGUCGAUCAAACUAAAAAAACAAUCACUCUAAAAAAACUAUAAAAAAACAAUCUGUCGAUCACUUUUGUCGAUACUCACGAUGAUCGGCCUGGAGAGGGCCCCACCAAGUGGGUCGUGGCUUUUGUUUUGACAUCAAGGUGGGUUGUGGUUUCGUGGUCGUGGGAGAUGUGCAGGAUUGACGUUCUUUCUUUUUUUCUGCUUGCUCCCUCGUGUACUGCCAUCUAUAAAUUCCAAUGCCUACGACCAAAGCACAUGUACCCUCGAAACCUGCCUAAUCCCUCGUAUCUGCUGCCAAUCAUGUCUGCCAUCUAAGGAUCCUAUGUACAUACACAAUUCACACAAGAAAAAUCUAACCUACAUACACAGACCGAAUCAUGUGACCACACAAAUUUUUGUUGUUCAAAAAUUCGCGUCAACUUUAAUUAUUUUGGUUAUUACCGAAACCAAACCAAAAUUAAAUGGUUAUUACCAAAGUAUAAAAACCAUAUAAACCAAAAACCGUAUAAAUUGAACCGAAUCAAACCGAAAAAACCGAAUGCAUAGCCUGACCGCCGCCAGAAUGAGCCACGGACGCGCCGCCGUCGCCGCUCCCAUACCAAAGCUGGACUAAUCUUGUCGAUGACAACGGGGAAGUCUUCGUUCACGUGCCCCUAAGGACCAGCGUCCCGGAGCCGCAGUUGUUGUCGUUGAAUUCUUGAAUAGAUGUGAAGAACCUCACACCAAAUCUCGUCGUUGCGUACGCACGACAAGAAACUCUAACCUCAUCGCUCUGAGAAGCUGGCAAGAAUCUACGCCGAAGCUUCGUCUAAUUCGUCCCGAUAAACGAACUUGAGAAGGAUUGAAACUCGAAAGACUAACUCAAAGAAGAAGCAUCACCAUCCGCUCGAGCGCCGCCUAAAACUCUACCUAUCUAAGUCGUGGCACUAGGAAUAUUCUCUCCGCCAUCGACCGACAGAGUGGCAGGUGGAGGGGAGACGAAUCCACGGUUCGCCGGCGGAGACCAAGGCGAGGAAUGCUCUCCCUAGUCGUCUUGCGAUAGGGGAAAGAAAAAGCUAUAGGCGCGUCUCAAGUUAUCCGUUGUGAAAACCGGCCAUUUGACGCGUGCCACACGGACCUGAGAGCCGAGAACUCUCGUUUCGAAUGCUCACAAAAGUAGAAGGGUGUAAAACUGACACACUUUUCCUAAAUGAAGUAUAACAAAUGAAAUUAUACUAAAGGGAUGCUUAAUGUCACAACGGUCAAAUUAGGGGGGAAACUAAAAUUCACUCUUAAUUUAGUGUGAAAAUACAUGUGAACACCUUUUGAAUUCUUUCACGGAUAAGAUCAGCACCGAAGAUCAUAUCUCACCAAAGCUGUUGCUCACAUGCUCCUGGGUGAUCUUCUGUAGCCGGCUCAACAUCAUGGCGAAGGAGGUAUACACUGGCAGGUUCAGUCGGUAAAUGUAGGUGGACGAUGAAGGGAGAUGCUCUGAGGUCUUCGAUGAUGCUUUAGAUAUGACUAGACCACUACCUAGGUCUAGCCCGCGGAAACCGUCAAAUGGCAAAUAUUCGACAGAGGUUCAGAAGAAGAGCAAUCGUCUCUGCUCUUCAACCAUCAUGCUCUUCACGGCCUGUGAGAUAAAGAUAGGAGGUGGCUAUUACUAGUUGCAAAGAACAUAAUAUGCAGAUUUAAGAGUAAGUGAAAUCUUGCCUUAUCUGAGAAAAAACAUAUCCAGGAAAAACUAAGUUUCUUAUUGGGAAGUGUAUCCGAACAAAAAUAAAGUAGUUGCUCAUUUUAAAAUUUUGGGAGCGGCUAGGCGCUAGCGGCUUGAAAAUUAGCAAAGAGUCAGUCGAUUACGCCCCUAUUAUCUCAACGUUGGUUAAAGAUUCAACAGACAGUACUUCAUCUUCAACCUUGAACCGGUACGCAAUGUUUCUCUUCUUCCUCUUACCGUCGCCGAUCCAUCUCAGGCCUAAUUGCAUGCCUCCUCCAGCGGUGCUCCAGGGAUUGCUUGGCUGGCCCACCCUCCCCUCGAACUCCUCCCACUGUCGGGCUUGCCACAACCCUCGGUCGUCCCGCUAAUCUUGCGAACCACCUAAAAUUUCCAGGCGAACCCGCAACCGCGCCCCUAAGAUACACACUGAGGCUGUUGCUUCCCCGAAGAACCUGUAUCCCCCAGACCCUUAAGAUAGGCACCGAGGUUGCUGCUUCCUUAACAAACCUGCACCCCCGAUACCCCCUAAUGUAGACAAGAUGAAACCUGUCCCUGGUGGUCUCGAUGCUUCGCAUGCCUCCUGCUUCCUUCCCAACAGAAAUGGAAUGACCCAAAUUUCGUUUUCACGUGACUAUGUCCAGAUAAACUAUUAAAAUUUAUUACAACUUGGUAUGAUGUAAAAAAGAACUAUUCUCAUGCGACCUAGAAAUAUGAGGAUUUCAAUUAGUAUAAAAUUUGCACUAGAACAUGGUAGUAAAAUCUAGAGCAACGAAUAAACUGAGAUUGGAGAUAUCAUAUACCUCCCAGAACCAGUUGAUCUGAUCAUCUUGUUGGGUGUACCCCCCCAUCAUAUCUGGUAAAUUCUUUCCAUUCCUGCACAUCAAUGUUGCCGAUGCGCCCGCCCAGCAUACUGUCAAGAUCUUCCAAAUGCAAGCUCAGGAAGAAAUGUUUCCGCAAUUCCGGCUUUACGAGCAUGUAGGAAAAUCCCUUAGCAAAAUGAGUUAGUUGAUCUUUGGUGCUGGCCAUGAAGAGACUUUGGAUCAGCAGAUCGAUGUACUGGCCUCUGUUUUUGCUAUCGACAACGAUAUCUCUCCCUCCCGGAAGGAGCUCAAUGACCUCCCCUGAGCCAAAUACCCCAACUUCCCUCGCAAAUGUGAGACCCAGCGCGUCUGAAUCGACGAGAUCAGGAUCCAUCUCUAGGAUUUUCUUGCAGCUUGCAUGCGCACUUGGGUCUGCGUUUGCAACGUCGUCCAGGGUGAGAGGCCUCCCGGCUAGCUGAAAGAAGAGGGUCCGGUCAAACCGAACCCCCACUGGGACGUUGUGCAUCAGGGCCAGUCCGAUCAUCCGUCCCGCAAAAUCGUAGUACUUCAGCUGCAGUGGAUCCACUCUAGAUGCUGCUUCCAGCCGAAAUGAACGAUUGAAUACAUUAGUCAUGAAAAAUGGCAUUUGAUUUGAUGUGAACAUGAUUUUGAAUGUACUAUUUUCUAGAUAAUGAAGGAAGUAAAGAAAAUUAAACAGGAUGUUGUCACCUCGAUUCAGGAAGAACCUUCGCCGCUCACGCGGACAGGACGAGAAGAGGCCAUGCCGCGGGUCGAACAGCGCAUGGCACACCAGGGAGAUCCACUCCCUUGCUACCCCCUCGCCAAUGGCCUCCUCGUCCUGGAACUCGACGAACAGGCGCCAUGGAGCACGUGGCUCGCCGCCUCGGAGACAUAUCUGAAGGAGUCGGGCAGCAGCUGCGACCAAUCAAUGAGCAUCUCAAGCGCAUGAGGCUCAUCGUCAAACAGCAUGAGCGCUGACGACGUUGCGUCCAUUUCCGGUAGCAUCGCUCUGGCGAAAUGCAUCCGCACGUCGGUCGAACCCGAGGAGGUCCUUGUGCUUGACGACAAUCCGGCCGAUGUCCAUGCACCGGCUCCUGUCGGCGCUGGUACCGAGCACGAGCGCAUUCAGGCACGCCGCGUGCGCCGUGCAGGUGGCCCGGAUGGCGCCGGCCAAGUGGCGGUCCGUCACGGACCACAUAUCUAGUUGGCCUAGCACCACCCAGAUGUCGUCAACCGUAUCCCGCUGGUGCUGCUCCUAGGUCACCAAACCCGGCAAGAUGUUGUGAGUCGCGUCCUGCUGGUGUUGCUCCUUGGUCGCCAAACUUGACCUCCGCUCGCUCGACGGCGAGGCUCCCUCCAACCUCCUCAUGAAUGCAUCGACCGAAAUCAGCAGGGACAUCACCGUCCGGGACAGCACCGCUCCCACAGGACCGUCCGUGCGCUGUGCGUAAACCUCUCGGCGCCGGAAGUAGCACAUCAGUGCAAAGAAUACUCUGAACACAAAUAGCUUAUCAUCCGGGGCCGCCCACCCUGCUGCCAUGUAGCGAAUGAUCACGCCCGUCGCGUCUUUGGCAAUUGGUAUUAACUACUUGAUCAACCACUCUUGAGGCAUCUUCGGCAUGCGUAGCGACGGCGUCCGCUCGAACAAAGAGAGCACUGCCACCAGCCUGUGCCUACACUUCUCGUAGAGCAGGUUGCUUCUGCCUUUGCCGGAGGCGGCGGGUAUCAACCGACAUAACUCCAACAAGAGUGGGAGAAAGCACACCUCAAGGCGAGGGAGUAUGCCGCUUAUCUCCGGAUACAGGAGGCAGAUGAUCACCGAAUUGGCUCUUAAGUAAUGCAGCAUAGAGCCGGUGGAGUAGAGGCGGACCAGAACCCCGAUGACACCGCUGCGCAGGAGGACGUCGAGGUACUCCACGGCCGUCCCUGCUUGUCUCUCGUUGGUGGCUUUGGCGCCGGCAAGGAACUUCUUGACGAGCAGGACGAUGUCCCUGGUGUAAAGCAUCUUGGUGACAUGCUCAAAGUCGGUGCACGGUGAGCAGUUGGGGACACCGAGAUGUUGUGCCAGUGGAUCAAUUUGGACUUUGCCGUCGUGUAUGAACCUCUUGAACAACUCGGCAGUUUCGUUAGAGACACCCAUGUCGGUUGUGGCCGCCGCGGCAAUCUGAGAUGCGCGGCUCCAUGCGUCGGGAUAUCGGGUUAAGUGCAAAGUGGCGUCGCGCGGAAGGUCCAGCUCGCCGAUUUUCGCCUCGAGGUGGAGGUUCCGACACUCGUGCACGGCGUGGAGGUCACUUCUCCUCCUGGGUCCCACGUCCACGAAGCGACCAAGCACCUCGCCUAAAAGUGUCCUGUGGACCCGCCACGACCACGGUCGUCUUGCCGUCGAUGCUCUGUACCGUGAGCCGAGGUAAUAGCACCCCAGGUACCCUAACUUGCACAGAAUGUGAUGAUUUAGUCCCAAACUUGCAAAACUUCAUUCCACCAUACCCCAACUUGCACGCACUUUUGCAGAAAACCUCCUACCGUUUUCUUUAAUCAACCCGCACUCACCUCCCACUGACUGCAAAAGCAUAAAUAACCUAGUGUAAAGUGGAGUACAUCCAAGAUUCCAAGUUUGCUUGGAACUACGAAUGUUCAUGUAUUUCAUAUUCAGAACGACAUGUAGUUGCUACUGUUCCAAAAUAAAAUGUGUAGUUUCUACUAAAAACCACAUGAUAAAACUGUUCAGACUGUAACAGAACAUGUAUCAGUGCACAACACCAUUUUCUUUCAGUCUUUCAGGAGAAGAGAGGUUGCACCCAUGAACAUCUUUACUGCAGCACAAUUUCGCGGCAGAACAUACAUGAUUUCAAGUUCUCAAAGGAGAAAAGAAUUAACAUUGCUCGAUCAAACCAACAUACAAAUUAAUGGGGAGAAAAAAGAAUCACGGAAGCAGCAUGAAUCCUUGGCCGCUACCUGCAAGAACUGCUCUCCUAAUCAGCCAUUAGCCAUUUUUUCUUGCAUCGGCGGCGUCAGUUCCUCCAGAACGGCACAUUGACGUCGCAUGGCCUGGACACCACCUUGGCGCUGGCGGCGAGCCUGUCCACCGUCAUGGCGCACCGAACCGUCACCGGCACGGCCCACGUCCUCACGCCGCCGAGCUGCAGCCGCACGGGCACCGUGAUGUCCACGUCAAACGGCACCGAUCGGAGCCGCUCUGCCGCGGCCAUCUGCCCGCGCUCGCGCUCCGAGAACCGUAUCCCGGUGCCCUUCGCCUUCGCCACGAACACCGUGAUGUUGCACGGCGCCUGGUAGAAGGCCGGCCACGCGCCGUCCGCCAGGCUCACGCCCUCGUACGACACGGCGACGCGGCUCCCGGCGCCGUCGUAGUGCACGCCGACCUUGCCGUUGGCGCUGUUGUCGGCGCGGACGGUCGCGGCGAACCCCGGCGAGAGCGGGCCGGGGGCCGAGGCGUUGCUGACGCCGGCGCGGCCCGACACUGCGAGGGACACGACCGAGUACGCCGGCUGCCUAGGCUUGAAGGCGAGGUAGACGACCCCGACGGCGGCGGCGAGGAGGACGGCGAGGGAGAGGACCACGACGGCGAGGUAGAGGCGCGGAGGCAGGAGCAGUCAGCGCGGCGGGUGUAGUGCUGGAAGAGGCGCGCGUUCUCCGGCGGCGGCACGCGGAAGACCUUGUCUUUGGGCACCUGCACCACGUACGUGCCGGGCUGCGGCGCCGGCGGCUUCUGCUGGUGUUGGGGCGGCGGCGGGACGGGCUUCUCGAAGUGGACUGCAGAGCGGGCUGGGGUGCCAGAAUGUUUUGCGCGCAUUGGUACUUCCCAACCGAAUAGUACUUCUUUAGCACGGAGUACGUCCCAUAGCUUUGGAGUCAAUAGAUGAUCUCUUGUUUUUGUACCAUGGGACAGCACGCACUACGGCUCCUGUUCACCAGUGCACGUACCCAAACUUGAAGAGAGACCAGCAGCCUCCACACUGGCUGGUUCCAACUCAUGACACGGUCCUUCUCGUUGAAGCAUCGAACGGCGCCUUCCAUGCACAUGAAGCUGAAGUCAACCGUGUACUCGAACCAAACUCUAAACCGGUGCCCUGUCACCUCCACGAGGAAAGGAAUAGUGUGGCGGAACCAUUGUCUGAAACAGUCAACAGCAAAGCAAGCAAAUCAGCAAUCAUUAAGCAAAGUAAACGAAUGUACAAAUGUACUAAAACGGAGCACGCCACUCAGCACGUACCCGCCGAGUUCCUUCUUGUGUCUGCACUGCUGCACAGCUUCAUAGAAGACUAAUGACAACUCGUCGUCGCUCUCCUCAUGUCCCAUGCCAACAUCGAACGGUGAAGAUCCAAACUCAACGACCAUCAGCAUCUGGUGCAGUGGGUUGGCUGAAAUUUUGUUCAUUUAAAUUGUCGUUAGUUUCCGAACCAAAUUACUAUUCAAGGAUCUGCACAUCCCAGUUACAAUUUUUUUUUCUCAUAGCCUGAUAGGCACGCACCUGUGGAGCGACGGCAUUCAAACAAACAUUCUAGACCUUGACAGCCGGUGUCAUGCCGAAAGCCACAGGGUUACACCUCCUCAUCUUGUUCUGUGUGAACAAACCACCCGGGCCGCUACUAUAACGAUCGAACAUGGGACUGGUUGAGUUGUUUGCUGAGCUCAGAUCAUGAUAGGGAACACCUGGGAACAAAAUUAUGGGAGGUGAGUGCGGGUUGAUUAAAGAAAACGGCGGGGGGGUUUUCUGCAAAAGUGCGUGCGCUGACCGGUCCAGCCACCUGGCUGCCAAUUGUCGAGCUGUGAUUGGCCUGGGACUAAAUCAUCACAUGAGGUGCAAGUUGGGGUAUGGUGAAGUAAAGUUUUGCAAGUUUGGGACUAAAUCAUCACAUUCUGUGCAAGUUAGGGUACCUGGGUGCUAUUACCUCCCGUGAGCCGGAUGGCGUCAGAUGAGGAGUUUGACUCUUGAGAGAUAGCGACGAUAUCGGGAUCCAUGACACGCAAAGUUGUUUUUACCAGAGCCGACAGCUAGCUGUGAUUGACCAACCAAUAGAAUCCUGCCAACUCAAAACCUGUCCUUUGUUGUAUCUCUGUAUUUCACCGUUUUCUUCAUUGAAGCCACUGUAUUUAAAUAGCUGGAGCCCACCCACAUGAUUUCAGUCAUGCCACUCGCUUUAAUCAUACGACUGGGACAGAGGCAAGUCUCCCAUUUCACACACGUACAGGCAUGCAUUUAAAAGGAUCAACCUCUCAAUUAAAACUGGUUUGAAAUCCUGCCAAAAAGUUGAUACACAUAUCAAUUUCUGUUUCGCAUUUUAAACUUCCAGUUUUAUUAACUUUGAUACACAUAUCAAUUUCUGUUUCAGUAAAUUUAACAAUGCUGAUUUGAAUUCUUUCUAUCACAUAUUUCAAUUAUUUCAACAAACUAAUUUCACUCAUUUUAAAAAAUAAUUUCAAUAGUUUCAGCAAAACUUAUUAUUUAAAAAAUGAGUGUACUACAGAAACAACAACAAAAAAAUCAAUCUUUUUAUAUUUCAAUCAUGAUUUCUGUUAUACCAAUUACACAUAUAAGAAAAAAUUGACACAAACAAUUUCAAUUUAUAUUACCAUAACUUGUUCAAUACAAAUCACACUGAUAUAACAAAUUACACAUAUAAGAAAUACCAAUUUCAUAUAUUUCAGACAAGUAAUUUCAUAUAUUUUCACAAAUAAGUGAAACUGAUUAUUCAAAUGGGUGACAUAAACAAUUUCAAUUUCUUAGAAAAAAGGUGAUUUUAGCUACUCCAAAUUCAUUUUUACUCAAAAAGAGUGAAAUCCAUUGUAGCAAAUGUGACACAAACAAUUUCAAUUUAUAUCUCGACAACUUUUGCAAUACAUAUCACACUGAAAUAACAAAACACACACUUAGAAAAUACCAAUUUCAAAUAUUUCAGACAAGUAAUUUCAUAAUUUUUUUAAUUUUAAUAAGCGAAAUAUUUCAUACACAUACCAGUUUCACUAUUUUUUCACUUCUAAAUGAACGAAGUAUAUUUCGGUUAUUCGGGUAUCUUAUUGCACAAAAGAGUGAAACUCAUUAUUUCAAAGUACUGACAUAAACCAUUUAAAAAAAAUGAACCCACAAGUUCUCAUUCACAUAAUGAAGAAACAACAAUUUCACAAAGAGAAACAUGCAUUCCAAUUUCUGAAAAAAAUGCAUUUCAACAAAAAAAAUACUUUCCAAUUACAACUCUGUUUCACAUCACGAAUGUUAGUUUCACAAAUCCGCAUUUCACAUCAGAUAUAGCAGUUUGACAUAUCUAUUUCGAUUUCGGUACAACAAUAUCACAUAUAUCACACAAUCUGCUAUACAUCUUCCCAUCGAUUUCAAUUAGACACCUUCAUUUCCAUCAAAUAUAACAGUUCAAUAUAUCACACAAGCAGGGGAGUUGUCCAUCUAGUGAAGAAGCAAGGGGGGAUCUCAAAACAUGUACCAUAAAACAAAAAUCAGGAAGUAAACACAGAGAUAAAGAUAUUAGGGGAGUUGUGCUUACUCGGGGGUGGAGGCAUAUGGUCGUGGGCUUCAUGACUCACCAGAUCCGGUGGCAGUCAUUCUUGGAUUCGCCGGAUCCGGUGACGACCCUGCUCGUCGAACCGUCGUGCUAGGUGGCUGCUGUGGAGGAAUAACGUCGGAGCAGGUCUCCCCAACGCCAGCGCCCACGGCAAGGCGGGGUCAGGAGGUUAGGACCGACGGACUUUGUCGGUCCUAGAGGAGAGGUGGCGGCGAUAUAUGGAUGUUA
This 54451-nucleotide long non-coding RNA is filed under the name Triticum aestivum (bread wheat). RNAcentral's name for it is "long non-coding RNA (TAES_LNC017812)". Lineage: Eukaryota; Viridiplantae; Streptophyta; Magnoliopsida; Poales; Poaceae. The record is from RNAcentral.